RNAcentral lists this long non-coding RNA (53667 nucleotides) under Triticum aestivum (bread wheat). Its description in RNAcentral is "long non-coding RNA (TAES_LNC026583)". The record is from RNAcentral. Lineage: Eukaryota; Viridiplantae; Streptophyta; Magnoliopsida; Poales; Poaceae.
CGGCUUUCUCCGCCAUCCUCGUCCCCAGAGCGAGCUUCAUGCAAUGGGUGGCUCCUCACAGGAUCCAAUCGGUUAGGCAUUUUCGAGGGUACAGAGAAACAUGGCAUUUUGGUUCCUGGGAAUAUGGCUGGUAUAUUGAAAUGUCAUGUGACGUGAUACAAGAUAACAAACUUAGGUUGUCAAACAAGCGAUGCGGUUAUAGAUAUGUCGGGCGAGACCUUUUUCGCGGGUUUCUUUCAUUUGUUCGUUUGGAUGAAACCAGUUUUUGGUAUUGCCUUGAUGAUGCUACAAAAUAAAAAUAAAGCUGAUGCAAUUGUAUCCUAAAUUGAAGCUGUCAUGUGAUGUUAUUGAUGUGUGUCUGGCGCGCGCGGUGGGUUUCUUUUUGUUCUUUGGAAUGAAAUGGUGCAAAUGAUGUUGAUGCUGCAACUGAAUGAAGUUUAUGUAGGAAUGUUUCAUGGAAUGCCGAUUUUGCGGGUUUCGUUCUGAUCUCGCCUGUGUAAAAGUGGGGCCCAGUAAGCAGUGGAACAGCAGCUAAAAAAGAAAAAACUUGUUCCGUCGCCGGGACUUGAACCCGGGUCUCUCGGGUGAGAGCCGAGUAUCCUAACCACCUAGACUACGACGGAGUUGUGAGAAAUUUAGAAUGAGAAUUUACUUAGACAUCAAGUUGUGACAGUUCAGUUCAACAAAUCAACACAUUAGAGCAUCUCCAACACACGCGCCAAUUUAGCCGCGCGCUGAAAAGAAAAACACUUUCUAACGCGCGCGGGACUGAAACUAGCGCUCCAGCAGCCGCGCAAAAAUCACGCGCGGGGUAAAGUUGGUUCAGCGCGCUGUGUAUUUGGUGUGCCAGCUAUCGCGCGCUGGACAACGAAUAUUUGCGCGCGAGACCAACUACCACCCUCUUCCUCUUCGUCCGCCCCGCCACGCCCGGCGCCGUCGCCGAUGAAAUUGCACAGAUGGAAGCCCGCACCGACAUCCCCCCAAACCCUCCCUAUACUCGCAACCCCGCCCCCGCCGUUGUCGCCGCCGCAAACCCUAGUGCGGGCUUGAGCUUCGGCUUCGCCGCCGGCGCCCCUCCUCCUCCAAGCACCGGUCUUGCGCGCGGCCUUUUCAUGGCGCCCCGAACCACCUCGCAUGGUGGCGAAAUGGCGUCGCCGCCCGCCGUGAAGCCACGGGGUUCUGUCUCCAAGCGACCGAAUGCGGCGGCGGCGGCGACCGAAAAGAAGAAGAAAGGGGACGACACUCCUAGAAGCAUGAAGAAGAAACUUGCAUCACAUCCGGCCGCGCGUCCGCUGCCCGAAGCGCCGGAAAGCUCAUAAUUUGUUGCGCCGGCGGCCGAUGCGCACAAGGUGUUUGAUGAAAUGCCUACAAGGUAUGGUUUUUUCCCUCUUUUCUUUUUGCUGUAUACAUAUGGAUAGCUUGAUUAGUUUUUCUUUAUCAUACUUUGUAGUUUCAAUGAUGACACAUACAUGUCAACUAUGGGUGUUGGCUCCAACAAUUCUCAUUGGUCUCAAACCAAUGAAGUGCAUGAGGAUGAUCAUUAGUAUGAAGUGGAUGAGGAUGGUGAGGGUAUCGUCGAUGCACCAAAAAAAGGGUGUGCAACUACACAAUUAGGAAGACGUCUUGCUAUGCAAUACAUGGUUGACCGUGUCUAUGGAUGCCACCGUUGGAGGGGACCAAUCUAGAGAUACAUAUUGGUUUCAGAUGAAGGAGUUCUUUGAUACACACAACAAGAGUGGUAUUGAGCGCACCGAUAGAUCUCUUCGCUCCCGGUGGUCGACGAUCAACGAAGAUUGUCAAAAGUGGGUGGCGGCAAUGAAGUCGAUUGACACGUUGAGCCCAAGUGGCACUAAUGAUAGAGAUAGGGUAAGUGACAUUUCUUUAUGUUCCAUGUUGACGCUUCAUCUUUUGUGUUUUAAGUAGUAAAUUUUCUUUUGUUUGUAGCUCAAUAUUGCACAAAACUUGUUUCACGGAGAAGAGAAGAAGACCAAGAAAGGCAAGGUCAAGAGAAGGAGAGCAUUUGGGUUGCCCUGUUGCUACGGAGUGUUGAAGGAUGAAGAAAAAUGGAAGCCCCAUGAUGAUGUCGAAGAGGGGAGCAAGAAACACAAGAGAACUAUUGAUUUGGAUGAUGAUGAUGAGGAGGAGGCAUCAAGUGAUGGCGGCAAGAGGAGCCCAACACCAAACUCGAUUGCCUACUCCAAGCCUAAAAGACCAAAUGGAGAUAAACAAGCAAGAGAAAAUAAGAAGAAAAAGGGAGUGGAUGAUGAGAUAAAGAAUGUUAUGGAUGCUAUUGUGAAGGAAAGGAAGGAAGCAAACGAGGAUAGGAGGCUGGCAAGGAGCCAAGAGUCGGCGGCGGAGGAGAGGAGGGUGGCGGCGGAGGAGAGGAAGGUGGCAUUUGAAGAAAUUAGCCAUAGAGGAGCAACUAGAUUAUUGGAAUGGGAGAAGUACUUGAUCUUCACAGACACAUCUAACCUCGAUGCCAGGCAAAAGGAGUUCAUCAACCUUUUCCCUGAUGAAUUCUUGGUCCAAAAAAGGUUGACGACCAUGGGAGGCUUGGGAGCUACCAUGGGAGGCUUGGGAGGUAUGGGAGCUACCAUGUGAGGCAUGAGAGCUACCAUGGGAGGCUUGGGAACAAGCAUGGGAGCCAUGAGCGCCAUGUCCGGCAUGGGUGGCAUGGGACCACCCGCGGGAGGCAUGAGUGGCUUCGGAGCUAUAAUGAGAGGCAUGAGUUUUGGGUCUCUCAAUGGGAGGCAUGGUAGCACCUCCGGGUGACAUGGGAGGCAUGGGAGCACCUCCGGAUGACAUGGGUGGACGCAUGGCUUUCGGUGUGCCUCACAUGCCUUCGCAUGAUGCCUUUGGAGAUAGUGCCAACACCAUCCGAGUUUCCAAUGAGAAAGACGAGAAAGAAGAGGAGGAAGAAACGGAUGAAGAGGAGGAUAAAGAAGAUGAGGCAUGAUUGUUGAUGUUUCAUUCGUUUGUGUGAACUAAUUUGUCAUGAACUUGGUUGUGGUUUGGGUGAUUUUGAACUAUGCCAUGUUGCCCUAACUCAUUAUUUUGCAUAUUUGUUAUGUUUGAGAUCAUCUUAUUGUCAAAUUGGUGUGUGCUGUUUCAUAUGUGCCCAGCGCUGGUUGAUCACGUGCGCUGGAUUUUGUAGCGCCUACUGCGCUGCAACGGCGCGCUAAAAUUUGCAGCGCCUAGUAAAGCAACCCAGCCCCCACGCGCGAAAAUGCUAUUUCGGCGUUGUAAAUGUUUUUUAGUGCGCGGUCGCGCGUGUGUUGGAGAUGCUCUUAGGCCAUACAAGGACACAACUCCAUUUUUCUUUUGAAGGUAUACAAGGACACAAUUACAAGCAGGCUAGUAUUGAAUAUCAUAUUACAUUAGCUAGUGCAACACUGCUGCUAACUGAUUCCAUUUUGAAAGUUCCGUCCUUCACACACAGCUUACUUGACCAGAAGGUGGAAGAUGGCUUGGCUACUGCCACACUGCUGCUGCUAUACUCGCCGGCUGGCAAUACUUGAUUGGCCCUACUAACCCAACCCGAGUGCAGAUUCAGGCGGAGGGUGUCAUACAGUGAUCCUUGACGGUCUUCGUGGACAACCUAGCCAUGCCGGACAACCGGGUGCAUCAAUCUAUACAGCUUUAGAAGAAAAUCUAGCAACAUCAAGCGUUGACGUCUAGCUGGAGGCGAAGGUUGCCCCCAAUCAGUAGUGAAGCGACCGCCCAGCUACCUUGGGCAGUUGCCCGGGCUCCACCGACAAACCCUUCAUUGGUAUUAGUGUUGUACGAGUGUUCUGUUUCAAUUUUGAUAGGCAUUUUCUUGCCAAGGAAAUUCUCCCUCCAUCUCAAAAUGUAAGACGUUUUCUGACACUAGUGUAGUGUCAAAAAACGUCUUACAUUAUGGGACGAAAGGAGUAGUUGUGAAACCCUGCCCAGGCUUCUUGUACGUGCUGCUGAUGAACAAACAUACUUUGUUUGGGACCCAAAACAACAGUUUUGAAGUUAUAGAACUAAACUGACCCACCUUCAAUAGUUUAAAGACCUAAAACUGCAGUUUUAAAAUUACAGGACUAAACUUACACAUCUCCUAUAGUUUAGGACUUAUGAUGCAUCUUACUCAAUGAUAAAUUUAAGCUAGCCUACCCAGUUAAUUUUGCGGAAUAUGAUUAGGAUAGCAAGCUCUUGGGUUGGGAGAGCCAGGUCACUGGGUGCUUUCCUGCACAGCCUGACUGAACCUCGUUGGCUCAUUUCCAAUCAUGAGCUCCCAACACUCUGUUAGUACAACAUAUGAUCUACAGGCAAUGCAUCUUGCAACUCUCAAUGUCUCCCAAUCCUACGUACUAUCCAUGAUUUUCAUCGGCCUGUCAUGCUUAAUUUGUGUCAUCGACUUAACUUGUGUGGAUGCUAAAGCAUUCGCAUGUCUACGAUUCUUCGUUAUACUUAGUGCAUCUUGAGCUCUCCUCACAAGUAUAAUAUAUUCUAGAUUCCGAGGGUCCUAAAGAGAUGGCAUAGAAGGUUGUGGUGGAUAACAAGCACAGUUGAGAGUUGAGGCAGUUGCUAAGGAUUAGUGGCACAUCAUGCAUGACAGUCACAUGACAAGCUACUUGAUACUCCAUAUGCGCCAAAUCCCUUUUAAUUUUGUUGUCAAAGGGGCCUUUCAAUUUCAUUGACUUUAAAAUAUAAGACACAAUUUUUUAAGAAGCCAAACAUUAUAAUUUUUUCCAUAUAUUUUUGUGCAUAUUCUUGAUUAUAUUGAAGAAAAAAAAUCCAUUUUACUAUCCUGAAUAAAGUGGGUGGUUCACUUUACUCCAUGAUCAAUUUUUUAGCUUCUUUUACCCCUAAACAAACCCAAACCGGACAAAACACCCCAUGGCUGGUUUUUCUCCACCCGCUGCUGAUGUGGCACUAGUCAACGGCGGUUUUAACCUAGGUGGGGCCCCCUUGUCAGGUUUCUCUCGCCUCUCUCUCUCUAGGUCGGAUUCGCCGCCAACCGAAGGAGCUCGCCCCGGGCCGAUCCGGGCCCAGGAGCCGCCACCCUCUCCCCGUCAUCGCGCCGGCGCCCUGCCAGAGGAGCCGCAUCCAGCGCCAGUCGCGGAUCGCCCCGUCCCAGCAUCGCCGCCUCUCGCCGACCCGGCCGGCCACGUCAUCCCGCUGCCGCGCCCGAGUCACCCACACCCCACUUCCAUCACCGCAUCACCAGGAGCCGCCACCCUCUCCCCGCCAUCACGCCGGCGUCCUGCCAUAGGAGCCUCGUCCCACGCUAUCGCGGAUCGCCCCGCCCCUCGCCGACCUCGCCGGCCACGCCAUCUGCCACCGCGCGAGCCCGCCCCGAGUACCCACCGCUGAUGGUUGCCACCACUGCCUCGACCCCGCGCGCCACCGCCUCCUACCAACCCCGCCUGGCCCUGCUCUGCUCGCCGGCGGGUGCAGUGGCAGCUAGAGAGAGAGAGAGAGAGAGAGAGAGAGAGAGAGAGAGAGAGAGGGAGAGAGAGAGAGACCUGACAAGGGGGCCCCACCUAGAUCAAAACCGCCGUUGACUAGUGCCACAUCAGCAGCGGGUGGAGAAAAUCUAGCCAGGGGGUGUUUUGCUUGGUUUGGGUUUUUUUGGGGGUAAAGGAGACAAAAAACUACCACAAUUCGUGGAACCGUGUCUACAAACUACCACUUUACAAAUUUGUGCGGAAAACUACCACUUUUUCACUAAUCUUUAACUAAAAACUACCAUGUAUGAAAAGUGCCCGAUUCGACUUGUUUAAACUCGAUUAUGACAGGGUUGGCCCACAUGUAAGCAUUGACCGUUAGCGGCCGCGCCGCCGGAGCACUGCCGGCCAAGAUCCGCCACGGGCAGGCCCCAGGCCGCCGCCUGGUCGCUCGCCGUGCCUGCAGGUCACGCCGCAGGGAGGCUCCAAGCCGCCGCCCGGUCGCCAUGGACCCGUUUGUGCUUGUCGGCGUCUGCGGCGCCGUCUGGGCGCUCCAUGCGGGGAGCGGCGAGGAGCAGCGGCUGCGGAUUCCACCCCCACCGAGCAGGUGACUCCUCGAGGUGUCGCGGGAGGCGGGGCAGCUCCGACGGCGAAGGGCGCGGGGCGGGCGGCUCCGGCGGCGAAGGGCAGCGGCGGCGGCUCCAGGGGCGAAGGGCGGCGGGCGGCACCUGCGGCCAAGGGCAGUGGCUCCAGCGGCGAGCGGUUUUCGCGGCUGCACCUGUUGGCCACUCUGGCGCCUGAACUAUGGGCCCGGCCUGGCAGAAACGUGAUUAACCGCGCUGAAGCGGGCGGUUCCCCGACUUGGUAUUUUGUUGCCACUAAUUAGGUGAAAAGUGGUAGUUUUCCGCACAAAAUCGUAAAGUGAUAGUUUCUGGGUACGUUUCCAUGAAAUGUGAUAGUUUUUGUUUAAAUACCCGGGGUAAAAGAAGCAGAAAAAUAGAGUAGGGGGUAAAGUGAACCACCCAUUUUAUUCAGGGUAGUAAAAUGGACUUUUUUUCUAUAUUGAAUAACCCUUUAAUUCGCACCGUUCCUUGUCAUAAGCCAGUUAGGGCCCUAGAUAUCCUUUCGUGACAUCCUUAAAACGGUAAGCCAUGUCGUUCUGUGACAGGAAAUUGAUGUGAAAUAGAUUCGCAAAACCAAAAUUUCGAGUGAGUGCAAUGGAGGUAUAUUGGAAGCCAAGUUUGGCAAGUCAUGGCGCAAACAAGCCAUCCUUGUAUUAUAGUUGCACGACUGAUGGAAGAGUGAAUUUAAUUUUUUUUAAUCCAUUUAUCAAAUUCUCAUUCGGAUUAACCCAUUUAGUGAGUAUUCUGACAAUUAUAACUCUAUUCAGCGAUCUACCAUGUGGGCAGGUGUCUGUUUGUCAACAGGUACACAUGGCAUGUCACGUCACAAUUUUCCUUCUCAUGUCCCCCUCCCCCCAACAUGUAGAAUGGCUGAGCCGGAUACAAUUUUUUUUCUCACCAUUGUGAGGUAUACGCACGCAUCUCUUUCUCCAUGUCACACAACUAAUUAUUCAUUGCUUCCACUUCAUUCUUCUUCACCAAAUUUGCUUUCAGGUGUUGCAUCAUACCAGACAUAGGUGGAGAUCAGCAUGACCCGAAGCCCAAUAAAAAUAAUUUACUACAUGAAAAAGAUCUAAUAAAAUCAUAAUAAAAAUUGCAUGAUGCGUCUAUUUCAAGCAAUAUCGGACAUUUCCUAACAAAAAUGGCAUACAUUUUCUUGCUUUUCCUGUGUGGCAUCUAAAAAAGCAAACCUUUGAGACAUGCAUAGUCAUGGAAUGAAGGCAUGUAGUAAUUUUUCCACCGCAAACCAUUGCGUCGUUGUCUACUUGGAGACAGAGAUACCGGAAAGGCCAUAGAGCACUGAUCGCCUCAUCCCAACAUAUCUCCCUGACAAGAAUUCUUGAUGCGUCCCAAGCCUACAUUACUCAUGACCAGCGACAUCUGUUUGGCUGGGGCACCAUGCGCUAAGGUCUCCACACAGGUAUGUGGUGUGCUAGCUUCAUGGCUAGGCAUAUGAUGAGAGAAAAGAGAGAAACGAAGGUGACACAUAUAUAUAUUGAGUCAGAUAUGAGUGUGAUCUUCAUCGUGAUAAAGAAAAAUAAAAAGCUUCCGGGCAAUUAUAUAGCUCUCAUUAUUUUUGGCACACCUACACACUGCAACUAACCUUUGAGCAUCUGAGGAGGCGAGAGAUGAAGUGUUUGCGACUCCCUAGUAUUGGUAUGUCCUUGCAACGGACCAAGAACAUACUAUGGCAGGUAGUGGUGAGCAAGGUUUUAAUUUCACAAGCAGAAUUUUUUGGUCCUCACUGAAAUAUGCAAAAUUUCAGUUUUUUUCUGCAGACUUUGAUAUAUCAAAAUUCACUUUAUUUUAACCAAUUUUGAUGUAAUUAUACUUUUUCUUGGAAAUAGUUUGAAUCUGGCUCGAAUUUGAGCGUUAAAAUAUUACGGUACCUACCGAAAAUACUGAUACUUUGUUGAAUUUUGUAACCUUGGUGUUGAGUUUGUAUCGAGUGAUUGUACAAACCCGCAAAUUUUAAUUGUUGAUUAAUUACCAUUGUUGAUGUACACAUCAGAACAACUAUAUAUCUCCUUUGAAAUUCCUUCUGCCUGGCUGCUCCUCUCCGAAUGUCUUCUGCCGCACAUGAUUAGCGGCCUCUGGCAUAAGAUACAAGCAACGCUACCCUCUGCUCCCCUCAGUCAGUUAUGUGGAAGGAAGGUCUUGAGUUGGGGAGCGAGCACUAGUGCAUGCACGCAAACAGUUUAACACCUUUCGCUGACGCAAUUUUGACUGGAUGUAAGCUCAGACUAACACCUCUAUGGUGUGUUUUGCAUCGCUAAAAAAAUAGUUCUCCAAGUAGUAGAUUAUAAAAAAGUCCAAUUUGCAUAGUAGGAAGGAAAAGAGAAGUGCAAAAUUUCACUGCGUUUUACUUUUCUCUCGAAGCCGUGGAUGCCGCAGCCCACACUGAUGAUUUUCCUAUGAACUCUUUAGUGACAUUGCCCCUGACGUCUGACAUCGAUUCUUUUUUGCAGUGUGCAAUCCCACACAUUGGUGGCACAUAGCUCGGUUUCCUGUACAACGUGCCUGAGCAGAGCUUCCUGGUUCUCUUUGGCUGCCUUACGCUUCCCGAGUGAAUGUGAUGUCGCCGAGAUGAGCUGGUUCUGACAUGGCAAUUCCAUGGAGAGACAAACUGGCCCGAUUUCGGGCGGCCAAAAGUAGGUUCUGCGCAGUUUUCUCCGUCAUCCUCAUCCUCAGAGUGAGCUUCCCGGAGACGGCUCUGACUCCUCACAGGAUCCAAUCGGUUCGGCAUUUUCAAGGGUACAGAGAAACAUGGCAUUCUGCUUCCUGGGAAUAUUGCUGGUAUAUUGAACUGUCAUGUGACGUGAUACAACAAAACAAAACUUAGGAUGUCAAACAAGCGACACGGUUAUAGGUAUGUCGGGCGAGACCUUUUUCGCGGGUUUCUUUCAUUUGUUCGUUUGGAUGAAACCAGUUUUUGGUACUGCCUUGAUGCUACCAAAUAAAAUAAAGCCGAUACAAUUGUAUCCUAAUGCUUCAUUCUACCGUUUUUAGACUCAGUGGGUUGGUUCUGUAAUAUACUUAUGCUAAACUGUAGUUUCUAUGUAGCCUCUAUUCUUAUAACAGAGUUGGUAACGCUCUGGGGCUGGAUUUUCCUGAAAUUCAGGCCUCGGACCACUCCCGUAGGUUUCUUCCUUGCCUUGGGGUUUUCGGGGAGGAGAAGGGAUGGCUUCUCCUUCCUCCUCAAUUUGGCAGUGAAGUGUUUCGUAGGGGAGUGGAGUAUCAUGCUGGGGAGUUCCUCCUUUUUAUCUUUUUCUGUAGUGAGACCUGGUGAUUUCUAUUAAUGGAAAUCGGAGAGACUGCUCUCUUUUAUCAAAAAAAAAACAAUUGUAUCCUAAAUUGAGCUGUCAUGUGAUACGGUACAACGCCGCGGUUAUAGUGAUUGGCGAGGUGGGUUUCUUCAUCCGUUCGUUCGAAUGAAAUGGUGCGAAACAUACUUAUUCCGUGGGGCCCGGUAACUAGUAAAACAACAAAAAUAUCUUAUUUUUGUGGAAAAGGCCAUGAUAAUGACAGUAUGGCCCAGUAACCAGUGAAACACCUAAAAGAGGAUGGCAAAAAAAACUGAAAAAUUAUGUCGCCGGGACCUUUAGCCCGGGUCUCUCCAAUGAGAGCCAAGUAUCCUAACCACCUAGACUACGACAGAGUUUGUGUGCUAUUAACAAUGACAAACUAGUUAGUCAAAUGAAAUUGUGACAGUUCACUGUGAUGCCAACCAUAACACCUUAGGCUCAGUCUGCACUUCCUGUUGCUAUACUGAAAUCUGUUAAUCACUAUGGAAAUCUUGGCGCUUCUACUGAUACAAAAGAAAAUAAAUCUACCCACACACCUUAAAGAACUUACAUGUCAACGGUCAAUUGUCAUAUAAUCCUUUUUUUGCGGGAGAACUGUCAUAUAAUCAGGAGCACAACUCCGUUUUUCUAGUCAAGGCAUACAAUGAUGUCAUCCAGUCAUCCUUGACAGUCUUCAUGACAACCGAGCCAUGCCAGACAACCGGCAGUAUCAAUAUAUAUACCUUUAGAACAAAAAUCUAGUAAUGCAUGCCUUGCCGUCUAGCUAGAAGUGAAGGAUGGUAUGUCACAGAGCAUCGACCGCCAUCUUGGCUCAGCUCCCCAACAAGGGGGCAAUAGCUUGCCAAGUUGGCCCACGGUAUCAUUUAUGUGCUUCCAUGGGUGGCAUACAUGGUAGCAUUAAGGUUGACGGUGAGUGACAAUGGAACACGGUAGGGUGGGCGAUGGUCGCAACAUUCACAGCACCCGCACCACCAACAACCUUUCUUCAGCCUUUGUCGGUUGCAUGAGCGUGCAACCUGAAAUUCUUGAUGCCUCCAAAGCCUACAUGGCCCAUGACCAAUGACAUGUGUGUCAACUUUUUUUCUGUUUGUAUCAUUGUAUGGAAGUGCAACUAUAUAUACUUACGACAUCAUUGGCCAGCACGCCAUAAGCUAAGGUCUCCACACGUGUAUUAUUGUGCUUGCUUCGUAGGGUUCUAAUGGGAGAAACAAGAGAAGCAAGCGGGAUAUAUAUUGAGUCAGAUAUGUUCUUGCUUGUGAGAAAAAUAAACUCAUGCACAAUUAUAGCUCUCAUUACUUUAUCCCGCUGUGGAACACCUAUCCACUUUCCAAGUAUUCUUAGANNNNNNNNNNNNNNNNNNNNNNNNNNNNNNNNNNNNNNNNNNNNNNNNNNNNNNNNNNNNNNNNNNNNNNNNNNNNNNNNNNNNNNNNNNNNNNNNNNNNNNNNNNNNNNNNNNNNNNNNNNNNNNNNNNNNNNNNNNNNNNNNNNNNNNNNNNNNNNNNNNNNNNNNNNNNNNNNNNNNNNNNNNNNNNNNNNNNNNNNNNNNNNNNNNNNNNNNNNNNNNNNNNNNNNNNNNNNNNNNNNNNNNNNNNNNNNNNNNNNNNNNNNNNNNNNNNNNNNNNNNNNNNNNNNNNNNNNNNNNNNNNNNNNNNNNNNNNNUAUGUCCUUACAAGAGGGCCGAGAACUUAUGGUAGUGGCUAGUGUUGUGUUUGUAGCAAAUAAUUGAACAAACCCACAAACUUAAUCGAUGACAAAGUGAUUACUACAUGCCCUCAUUCCUUGACUAUACAUUGACUUUGAAGCCAAGAAAAAAAUACUUGAUGAAUUGAGAUUGUGGAUCAUUAGUUCAAUUUUGUGGCUCGUGUGCAUCACCAUGGUGCAGAGGACCACCCCUCUUCGGAUGAAAAAAUAAAUCUUACAAUAUUUGUGCAUGUAUGCAUCAAAACAACUGCUACUUUCUUUGAGUUUUGUUUUGCCUGCUAACUCCUCUGAAUGUCGGGCAUGUUUGGUUGUUGUCUUCGCCAACUCGUGCGUCCAAUUUUAGGGGCCUGAGAUUGCAUGUUGCCGACUUGGUGUGAGCUCCAUAUUCACAUCACGAACCAAUCGUACUCUUCUUUUGCCAUGGGUUAUGACGAGCAUGCGAGCAUCCUUGCGCUUGAAGUCCAAGACAAGCUACCCUCCUCGGCCAAUUUUGUGGAACAUGACUAGACAAGCGAACUCUUGGUUUAGGUGAGAUUUGUGGAGUAAAGUCACCGGGUGAGUUCUAUUAAAAACUAACCGAACCACGUUGGCUCGUUUCAAUCCCUCGCCCCAACACUUAUCAUAUAAACUGGGAUCAAUGCAACAUGCAAUUCUGCAUGUCUCCAAAUCGUACAUAUUAUCUUUUGACUUUGAGGCAGGUUGUUGUGACUCGUGAUUAACUUGUGUCAUUGACUUAAUUUUUGUGGAUUCUAAUGCAAUCCUCACAAGUCUACCAAGUCUACAACACGCUUGGUGCAUCCCCAACUCUCCUCACAAGUAUAGCAUGUGCUAGCUUCUCAGGGUCCUAAGGAGAUGGUAGAGAAAUAGUUGUGAUAAAUAUGGAGCACGAUUGAAGUCUGAUCUUGAUGCUUAUAUGGAACUGUAGGAGUGAGCGGUUUUUUAAUCUUUAUGUCUCAUUAUUGUCUUUUGAUGUGCUGCACCUACAACUUUGCAUGUAAUCUGAGAGCAAGUGAAGAGAGAAUGAAGGUGGAGGGUCAAUUUGAAGUUCUUGUCGGCCGAGGGUUGAAUCUUGCUCGGUUCUGAUAGUUAGCGGUUGAAAUUUAGACGGUUUUAAAAUUCAGGGUUGUUCAUUGACUUUGGUGACAACUGAGGGUUGUAAUAUGGACUCCUCUUUUGACAGAAUUGUGCAUCAGUGAUCCCAACUGACGUUCCCUUCUUUGUGUGUGAAGCCGUGGAUGCAUGCACCAGAUAUGAUUUUCUCUCCUUUUUUGUCUAUCCAAGUUGCCCUGUUGAUCUCUUCUACAAGCCACCUGAACUUUCGCACUAAAAUACAAACAAGCUAGAGUGGCAGGAAGGAAAAUGAAUGAUUACACCACAUGCAACAUGGGGUGUAUCAGUGCAUAUAGUUCUGGUUAAACAACCUUCCUGACACAGCUAUAGAUCAUUGAUCGCCAUAGAGCAUUGAUCUCCUCAUCCCGACACAGGUCCCCGGUGAGAACUCUUGAUGCCUCCCAAACCUAAAUUACUCAUGACCAGCAACAUAUGUGUAAUCCAUUUUUCUUCUGUAUGUGAAAUUGCAACUAUACAUAUAUCUAUGACAUGUUUGGCUGGGGCACCAUGCACUAAGGUCUCCACACAGGUAUGUGGUUUGCUAGCUUCAUGGCUUGGCAUCUGAUGAGAAAAAAGAGAGAAGUGAAGGUGACAUAUGUAUAUUGAGUCAGACACUAGUGUGAUCUUCAUCGUGAGAACAGGGAAAAAACUUCUGGGCAAUUAUAGCUCUCAUUAUUUUUGACACACCUACACACUGUGCAACUGACCUUAGAGCAUGCAUGGAGGGGAGAGAUGAAGUGGUCGCGACUCUCGAGUAUUGGUAUGUCCUUCCAAGAGGACCAAGAACUUAUUGUGGCGGGUAGUGUUGAGCAAGGUUUCAAUUUCACAAAUAGAAAUUAUUUGGUCCUCACUGAAAUAUGCAUAAUUUCAGUUUUUUUCUUCACAUUUUGAACUAUCAUAAUUCACUUUAAUUUAACCAAUUUUGAUGUAAUUAAAAUUUUCUUGAAUUAGUUUGAAUCUGGUUUGAAUUGAGGGUUAAAAUAUUACCGUACCCACCAGAAAUACUGAUAUUUUGUUAAAUUCUGUAACCUUGGUGUUGAAUUUGUAUCGAGUGAUUGCAGAAACCCACACAUUUUAAACAUUUAUUACCAUUGUCCAUGCACACAUCAGAACAUCUAUCUCCUCUGAAAUUCCUUCUGCAUGGCAGCUCCUCUCCGGACAACUUUUGCUGCACAUGAUGAGCAGCCUCUGGCAUGAGAUAUAAGCUACACUACCCUGCCCAGUUAGUUAUGUGGAACGUAGAUCUUGAGUUGGGGAGCCAACACGCAUGCAAGUCCAACGCAAACAGGUUAACACCUUUGACACAGUUUUGAAUUGUUGCCUUAUGNNNNNNNNNNNNNNNNNNNNNNNNNNNNNNNNNNNNNNNNNNNNNNNNNNNNNNNNNNNNNNNNNNNNNNNNNNNNNNNNNNNNNNNNNNNNNNNNNNNNNNNNNNNNNNNNNNNNNNNNNNNNNNNNNNNNNNNNNNNNNNNNNNNNNNNNNNNNNNNNNNNNNNNNNNNNNNNNNNNNNNNNNNNNNNNNNNNNNNNNNNNNNNNNNNNNNNNNNNNNNNNNNNNNUCCACGCCGAUUCAUUUUGCGCAGUGCAACCCCACACAUUGGAGGUGCCAAGCUUGGUUUCCUGUACAACGUGCCUGAGCAGAGCUUCUUGGUUCUCUUUGACCGCGUCGAAAUGAGCUGAUUCUCACCUGGGAACUACAUAAAGAGAGAAGCUGACCUGAUUUCAGACUCCUAGCUCGGCUUUCUCUGUCAUCCUCAGAGCAAGCUUCCUGGGAUGGCUGGCUCCUCCUACUAACUUACAGGAACUAGCCGAUUUGACAUUUUUGAGGGUAUAGAGAAAGUUGGCAUGUUGGUUCUCUACUCCUGGGAGUAUGGUAUACUGAGCUUUCAUGUCGAACAAACUUAGGCUGCGAAACAAUGCGGUUAUAGAUAUUGCUCGACAUGACAGACGGGACCCUUUUUUGCCUAUGUGGCAUAACUUUUCGUGCAUGUUCGGUCCUAAUCUAAAAUUACAGAGAGAAAGUUGUGUGUGUUCAGUCCUAAUCUAAAACUACAAAGUAGUCCCUAGAAUUUUAUACAUACACCCCUCCUGAUGUGUAUGUUCCUCUCUCUCUCUCUCUCUCUCUCUCUCUCUCUCUCUCUCUCUCUCCCUCCCUCCCUCCCCCUCCCUCCCUCCCUCCUCCUCCUCCUCCUCCUCCUCCUAUUCGUCUUUUAGCUAGUGACGGGGAGGGCAGUGGAGUGGCUGGCCGAGGCUGACGGAGAUGGGGGGCGGGACGGUGGCGCUCUCCUGCAUCCGAGGAAGGUCGCAACGCUGCUCGAGACAGUCUAUCGGCGUGGCCACUGACGACCGAAGAUGCCACGGCGGCUUGCUCUGUAGAGGCGCCAUGGGAGGGAUCCAACGACGCCAUGUGCUCGGCAACUCCUUUGGAGUGGCCCGCUCGUGUGGGCAAGGCGAAGCUCCAGCCGGAGCAACGAUCGGCGGCGAGCGGCGGCGGUGGGAUCCCGAGCGGUGGCGUGCGGCCGGUGCUUGAGGGUGGCAGGGAGUGCGGGGCAGCGGGCGCGGCCAGCCAGGCAGGGGCGGGAGCGCGGCGGCGGCAGACUGUGGUGGCUGGACAGGGGAACGGCCUGGGUGGCAGAAGGGAAAAGUUGGGGGUGUUUUCGCUAUUUUACCCAUCUAGCACUGUUUUUGGUAAAACGUUGCCACGCAAGUGCAAAGUGGGACCCAUCUGUCAGAAAUGCAUUUUAACGAGCAAGAUCCGCUGAUCAAUGUUUUUUGUAAAAAGAUUACACAAGAUGUGGUGCUUUCUGUCAAAAAAUGUAACGUAGUGUUUUUUUGAAAUUCCUUCAGCCUGGUAGCUCCUCUUCGGAUGCCUUUUGCUGCACAUGAUGAGUAGCCUCUGUCAUGAGAUACAAGCUAUGCUACCAUGCUCAGUCAGUUAUGUGGAACGUGACUAGACUAGCUAGCUCUUCAGUUGGGGAGCCAACACUAGUGCAUGUAAGUCCAACGCCAACAGUUUUAACACCAUCUGCUGACACAUUUUUUGAACUGUCACCUUAUGAAGNNNNNNNNNNNNNNNNNNNNNNNNNNNNNNNNNNNNNNNNNNNNNNNNNNNNNNNNNNNNNNNNNNNNNNNNNNNNNNNNNNNNNNNNNNNNNNNNNNNNNNNNNNNNNNNNNNNNNNNNNNNNNNNNNNNNNNNNNNNNNNNNNNNNNNNNNNNNNNNNNNNNNNNNNNNNNNNNNNNNNNNNNNNNNNNNNNNNNNNNNNNNNNNNNNNNNNNNNNNNNNNNNNNNNNNNNNNNNNNNNNNNNNNNNNNNNNNNNNNNNNNNNNNNNNNNNNNNNNNNNUCCAAGUUGAAUCUUUUUGCAGAGUGCAAUCCCACACAUUUGUGGCGCCGAGCUAGGUUUCCUCUAGAGAGCGUGCCUGAGUAGAGCUACUUGGUUCUAUUUGACCGCCUUAUGCUUUCCGAGUGAAUGUCACCGCGUCGAAAUGAGCCGAUUCUCAUCUGGGAACUGCAUACAGAGAGAAACCGGCCUGAUUUCAGGCUCCUUGAACGGCUGGCUCUCUGUCAUCCUCAGAGCAAGCUUCCUUAGACGGGCAUUUCCUCCUCUACCUUACUGGAACUAGUUGAUUCGACAUUUUUGAGGGUACAGAGAAAGCUGGCAUGUUGGUUCUCUACUCCUUGGAGUAUGGUAUACUGAGCUUUCACGUCCAACAAACUUUGGCUACCAAACAAUGCGGUCAAAGAUAUUGCCCGGCGUGACCUUUUCAUGGUCGGGUUUCCUCAUUUGUUCGUUUGGAUGAACCAUUUCGGUAUUGACUUGAUGUUAAAGAUGAAUAAAGUUUGUACUGUUGUAUCAUAACUAUUGCGGGUUUCGUCAUUGUUCAUCUGGAUGAAUCCAACCGUGGAGACUGGUUUUCAGUAUUGUCUUGAUGCUGCAAAUAAAAUGAACUCUCUAUAUAUAUGCUGUAAAUUUGUGAUUCACGUGUGUUCCUUGAGUCUGUUGAUCUUGUGUGAAAAAGUCCAUGGAUGUACAUGCAUUGCAAAGGGGCCCCAGUGGAUGGAAAAUGCAGAAAAAAUAAUAAUAAAAAGAUUCCUUUGCCGGGACAUGAACCCAGGUCUCUCGGGUGAGAGCUGCGUAUCCUAACCACCUAGACUAUGACAGAUUAGAGUGAACUUAUUGUUCAUAAUCAAUAAUACAAAGGUGAACAUUUCUGCUAUUGCCUUGAUGCUGAUGAUGAUGCACAAAUGGAUAAAGUUUGUACCAUUGUGUAGUAAAUUUGUGGGUUUGUCCAUUUGAAUUGAAAGGUUUUGAAAUAUCUUGAUGCUAUACACACUGAAUAAAGACCUUACUUGACCAGAAGGUGGAUGAUGGCUUGGCUACUGCCACACUGCUGCUGCUAUAAUCACAUUCUCACAAUACUUGAUUGGCCCUGCUAACCCAACCCGAGUGCAGAAUCAGGUGGAGGAUGUCUCUCACAGUUAUCCUUGAUGGUCUUUUUGGACAACCUAGCCAUGCCGGACAAUCGGGUGUAUUGGCCUAUAUACCUUUAAAAGCAAAUCUAGCAAUGCACGUGUUGGCGUCUAGCUAGAGGUAAAAGGUCUGGGUAUGCCACAGGGCAUCGAGCGUCGUCUCGGCUAAGCUCCCCAACAAGGGGGAAAUAGCCCGCGGAGUUGGCCAUGGUAUCAUUUAUGUGUUUCCAUGGGUGCCAUACAUAGUUGCAUGAAGAUUGACGACGAGUGACCAUGGAACACCGUAGGGUUUGUAAUAUGGACUACUCUUUUGAUAGAAUUGUGGAUCAGUGAUCCCAAACGAUGUUCCCUUUUUUGUGUGUGAAUUUGUGGAUGCGUGCAUGAGAUAGGAUUUUCUCUCCUUUUUUUGGUUUAUUCAUCCAUAUUGCCCUAUUGAUCUCUUUUAGUCCAUUUAUAUUGGAUGUAAUAACAUCUUAUAUUAUGGGAUGGAGGGAUAUAAGCCACCCGAGCUUUCACACUACAAUCCCAACAAGCAGGGUGGCAGGAAGGAAAAUGAAUGAUUACAUGGCAUGCAACAGGGGGUGUAUCAGUGUAUAUAGUUCUGCCCAGACAACCUUCUCGACACACCAUUAAAGCAUCGAUGACCUAUUUCUAGAUGAAGGUGCCGAACAUGCCAUAGAGGAUUGACUGCCUUGUCCCGACACAGCUCCCCGACAAGAAUUCUUGAUGCCUCCCAAGCCUACAUAACUCAUGACCAGCGACAUAUGUGUAAUUCAUUUUUUUUGUAUGUGAAAGUGUAACUAUAUAUAUCUAGCUAUGACAUGUUUGGUUGGGGCACCAUGCGCUAUGGUCUCCACACAAGUAUGUGGUGCGCUAGCUUCAUGGCCAGGCAACUGAUGAGAGAAAAGAGAGAAGGGAAGGUGACAUAUAUAUAUUGAGUCAGAUACGAAUGUGAUCCUCAUCAUGAGAAAAGGAAAGAAAAUAUUCUCAACAAUUAUAGCUCUCAUUAUUUUUGGCACACCUACACACUGUGCAACUGACCUCAGAGCAUGUGAAAAGGGGAGAGAGACUAGAUCUCCAAAUGGGGGCAAUGUGUUCUGCCACGUGGUUUAUUUCUAUUGGCGAGGCUUCCCCGAGUUUGGCAACCAAAAACUCGGUGAACAUUUGUGCCACUUGGCACUUCCAUUAAUGGCAUGUUCAUUCUGAUAGUGAGGUUCGCUGAGUUUCUUGUGAUUGAAACUCGGCAAACAUUGUUAUUAUGUGCACUGAGUUCUCGAUAGAAUGCAGUCGGCAGUAUUAAUGAUUGCCGGGCACCGUCCAGCCGAGUGCAUUGCGCCGAGUUUCGCACUCGGUGAAUAUUUCAUCGAGUUUAAUAAGUGUUGUACCGAGUUUCUUUGGAACUCGGCAAAAACGGUGAUUCUAUUAGUGCAUAUGCAUAUGCUUUCCAUACUAAUUUUGAAUCAUAACCAGUAAAAAAUUCUGGACUAGAAUUCCUCCCAAGCCUUCAUCACUCAUGACCGAUAGCACAUGUGUCAUCCAUUUUAGUUCUCCGUGUAGAAGGGCAACUAUAUAUAUCUAGGACAUAUAUAGUUAGCCAGCACACCAUAAGCUUAGAUGUCCACAUGGGUAUGUUGUCUGCUAGCUUCGUAGGCGAUGAGAGAAUUGGUAGAAGUGAAGGUGAUGUGUAUUGAGUCAGAUACGAAUGUGAUCUUGAUCGUGAUAAUGACUCUUCAUUAUUUGGGCACACCUACACACAACGUGAGUAAUCUUAGUGCACAUUGGGGGGGGGGGGAGUGGCCUGUUAGUGUUUGUAUGUCGUUGCAAGAGGACUGAGAAGUUAUGGUAGAGGGUACGGUUGAGUUUGUACCGAAUGAUUGUACAAACCCACAAAUUUAGUGACUGAAACAGAUUAAUUACUAUAUGUCGUCAUUCAUGGUUAUACAGUGACUUCAAAGUCAACCACAAGAAAAACAAUUUUAUUCAUUAGUUAACAUUGCCGAUCAGAUUCAAUCUUAUGGUGUUUGUAUAUUCAUGCAUCAAAACAACUAUUUCCGUUGCAUUUCAUCAUACUUAGCAACCCCUUCGGAUGUCCUCUACCAGCUCGGUUCUUGACGAGCCGCCUGCCUCAAGUCCAAACCAAGCUAGGUUUAGCUUCAUAUCUAGGGUUCCAAGGAGAUAAAUGAGAGAAGGAAAUGUCAUGUACAUUGAGCCAUACAUGUGUGUAUGCUAGGAAAAAAAGUGAACUCUCAUGAUUUUGGGCACAACUACACAUGUGUGAGUAAUCUUAGAGCAUGUGAGGAGGCGAGAGAUGAUAGUAGUGAUGGUAUUUCCUCGAAAGAGGACAAAAAACUUAUGGUAGUCGGUAUUGUUUAGUUUGUAUCAAAAAAAUGGUGCAAACCCACAAAUUUGCUGAAUGGGAAAUCUACGCUACCCUACCCAGCUAGUUUUGCGAAACGCCAUUAGGCUAGCCAACUAUUGUGUUGGGGAGCCAAGUCGCUAGAUGGUUACUUGCAAAGACUAACCGAUCCUUGUUGGCUUGUUUCCAAUCAUGAUUCCCCAUCACUUUGUUAGUGCCACAUAUCAUCUAUAAUCAAUGCAUCUUGCAAUUCUCCAUGUCUCCCAAUCCUACAUACUAUCCAUGAUUUGCGGCGAUAACUGAACCUCAUUGGCUUGUUUCCAAUCAUGAUUCCCAACACUUUGUUAGUGCCACAUGUCAUCUAUAAUCAAUGCAUCUUGCAAUUCUCGAUGUCUCCCAAUCCUACACACUAUCCAUAGUUUGUGCCAUAGACUUAACUUAUGUGGAUGCUAAUACAUUCACAUGUCUACAAUUCUAUGACACACUUGGUGGAUCCUAGAUCUCCUCACAGAUAUAAUACGUGCUAGCUUUUGAGGGUCCAAAAGAGAUGGUAGAGAAAGCUUGUGAUAGAUAACGAGCAUGGUUGAAGUGUAGUCUUGAUGUGUUGCAUCAGAGACCUUAUAUGAAAUUGUGGGAGUGAGCGGCUUAUUGAUCUUUACCUCUCACCAUUUUCUCUCUCUUUGGUGCACCUACCACUUUGCAUGUAAUAUUGGAGCCAUUGAGCAGGGAAUGAAUGCAAUGGGUUUGUUUUAAGUCAUUCUCAUCCCGACGCAUGGUACGAGAAAUUUGAGGCAGGUGCUAAGGAUUAGUGGCACAUCAUGCAUGACCAUCACAUGACAAGCUACAUGAUACUCCAUCUGUUUCAAAAUAUAAGACAUCCUAUUUUAAGAAUCAAAACAUUAUUAAAUGUUCUUCCAUGUCUUUUUGGUGCAUACUGUAGAUUAUAUUGAAUAACCCUUUAAUUACUCAUUGUUCGUUAUGAUAAUCCAGUUAGGGCCCUUGUUAUGCUUUCGCUAUCAUCCUAAGCAUGGUAAGCCAUGUCAUUCUGUGACUGCCAAUCAAUAUGGAAUAGAUUCACGAAACUGAAGUUUCGAUCGAGUACAAUAGAGGCAUAUUGGAAGCUAAGUUUGGCAUGUCAUGGGGGCGAACAUCAAUCCUUGUAUACAGUUGCAUGAUUGAUGAAGAGUGGAUUACAAUUUUUACUCCAUUUAACAAAUAUUCAUCCGGAUUACCCCAUUUUAUGAGUAUUCUGUCAGUUAUAUUAUCCCAUUCAUCGAUAUAUCAUGUAGUUGGGUCUUUAUCGCUAGGUGCAUGUGGCAUAUCAUGUUGUACUUUUCCUUCUCGCCCCCCCCCACUUCGCACCCAACAUGUAGACUGGCUUAUUAUCUAGAGACGGGUUUUUUCCUUUCGCACAAUCGUGGGUCAACGUACAUACCUCCGUCUUCAUGUCACGCAACUAAUUGUUCAUUGCUUCCAUUUCAUUCUUCUUUACCAAAUUUUCUAUCAGGUGUUGCAUCAUACUAGACAUGGCUCCAUCGAUGCUUUUCCAGGCAAAAGAACUGCCAACAAAACUAUCAGCAACUAUUUUUUAUAAAAGGGGUAAAAGUUGGUGAUUUUUUUGUUAAAUGGGGCAACCCAGAUGAAAAGCUAUUAAAUGAGGUAAUUAGCGUAAAAAAUAUCAAAGUAGGGUGUAAAAAACAGAAUUCAGUCUUCAUAAAAAUAACACAAAUUCAACUUUAAAAUGAGAAAGAAUUCUAUAAAUUUUGACCACUGUCCACUUUGUUAGAUGUAGUGUAACUUUACAAAUCCUAAUGUCAAAAAUAUGCAUCCUUGUGCUACAUAUAAAGAAGAAGAAUAAGACAAAUCAUGUAGUACAUUUUUAAGCGCAGUUUAAGAUCAAUGUGAUGUGAUCACUGCUUUGAUCUAGAUUUACUAAUAGUUAUGUCAUAUCUGUUUGCAAAAAACACUAGACAUGUUAAAAUCCUAAAAGGAUGCAUCUAGAACUCUGAUUUUCUUUUUGUUUGAUCACUACAUUUCAUAUUGGAAGUCCUGUUCACCGAUUUCUAAUUUGAUGUUGGUAAAAGGAAUACGAAUAAUUCAGAAUCAAAUGAUAAAAAAUGAUGUAACUACAUCCAUCACCUACAUGCUCACCGGUUAGAGAAAGUAAGGAAUUUCAUCUCCAAAUACUUUUUCUCUCUUGGAUAAUGUUCUCCUUGACCUUUGACUUCAUAGGGCCCUAAACAGUUUUUGGAGGUUGAGACGAAAAAUCUCAUUCUAGGCCCCUACUCGAGCCUCCAUUAUAACUAGGUAGAAAAAUAAUAAGAGCCCCUAUAUAAGGGGCUCUCCCCUUCUCCUUCAUUGGAGGGGAUUCAUUACAGCUCGACUCCCUCGGCACCGCCGACCUCUCCUAAACCUUUGUGAUUCCACUUACCUCUUCGACCCUUCCUAAACCUUUGCGAGAUCUACCUCCCCGACCCUCCUUACCUCACCACCAAUGCCGACCGCUCACAAAGUCUUAAACCACUACGUCCUGCUCCAAUUCUUUGCCCGCUAAUACUUGAGACGGUAGUGUCGCUUUUUCAACCGGCCAUGGACAAGCUCCUUUGUGCCUACAUACUUUCUCUAUAUGAAACCGAGAGCGGGUCGAUAGACCAUGCCAAUGAUAAAUGAGGCUCAUGUAUAAGUGAGUACCCAAACGAGAAAUAGAGCAUAUGACAAAUAGAGGCCAUUGCUGAAGUUAGAGUUAGUGUUUAGGGCACAUAAAGUUAGGGAUACUCACAAUGUUGGAGAUCCUCUAAAGGCUGGUUAGAAUUAGUGGAUCUGGGAUAUGCUCUUCUUAUUCUACAUAAGGUAAUAAAAUAUAAUAUCCACACAAAGGUUAAUUACCUCCUUCCUUGUAAGAAAGGGGAUUUUAGGCACUAAUCCUUGGAGGAGGAUGCACAAUGGGCAUGUGUCACAGGGGGGAGUGUUUCAAGUGUCUUGAGCCAGACCACAAUAUCGCUGAGUGCAAGAAUCGGGCAAGGUACAUGAUCUGUGGAGAGGUCAGGCACAAAGCUCGGUGGUGUGGCGUGCGUGACCUGAAGAGCAGUCCAGGGGGAGGUGCGGAGCCGAAGAAUGUCCUACCACCGCCCCCAGGCCCCCACCCAGCUUUGCAUUUGUACUCCAAUGGGGGCGCCGGUGGCAGAUCCGAAGGCUCGGAGGGGCUGGUCAUUGCCUCGGCACGUCGGAUGGCGGCCAUGGCGGAGGUGGAGAGGAAGUUGUCAAUGUUGGGGAACGUAGUAAUUUCAAAAAAAUUCCUAUGCACAUGGAAGAUCAUAGUGAUGCAUAGCAACGAGAGGGGAGAGUGUCGUCCACGUACCCUCGUAGACCGUAAGCAGAAGCGUUUUAUCAACGCGGUUGAUGUAGUCGUACGCCUUCACGAUCCGACUGAUCCAAGUACCGAAUGCACGGCACCUCCGAGUUCAGCACACGUUCCGCUCGAUGGCGUCCCAUGAACUCACGAUCCAGCAGAGUGUUGAGGGAGAGUUUCAUCGGCAGGACGGCGUGAUAACGGUGAUGAUGAUGCUACCGACGCAGGGCUUCGCCUAAGCACCACUAUGAUAUGACUGAGGUGGAUUAUGGUGGAGGGGGCACCACACACGGCUUGGAACAAUCAACUUGUGUGUCUUAGGGUGCCCCCUGCCCCCGUAUAUAAAGGAGCAAGGGGGGAGGCCGGCCGGCCUUGGUGCGCCCCAAGGAGAGGAGGAAUCCUCCUCCUAGUAGGAGUAGGAUUCAUCCUUUCCUAGUCCUACGAGGAAGGGGGAAGGGGAAGGAAAGAGAGGGAGAGGGAAAGAGGGGCCGCGCCCCCCUCCCCUAGUCCAAUUCGGACUCCCCAUGGGAGGGGGCGCGCCACCUUCUGGGCUGCUGCCCUCUCUCUCCCCUAAGGCCCGCUAAGGCCCAAUGCUUCCCCGGGGGGUUCCGGUAACCCCUCCAACACUUCGGUUUUCUGCGAAACCACCCGGAACACUUCCGGUGUCCAAAUAUAAUCGUCCAAUAUAUCAAUAUUUAUGUCUCGACCAUUUCGAGACUCCUCGUCAUGUCCAUGAUCACAUCCGGAACUCCGAACUACCUUCGGUACAUCAAAACACAUAAACUCAUAAUACCGAUCGUCACCGAACGUUAAGCGUGCGGACCCUACGGGUUCGAGAACUAUGUAGACAUGACCGAGACACGUUUCUGGUCAAUAACCAAUAGCAGAACCUGGAUGCUCAUAUUGGCUCCCAUAUAUUCUACGAACAUCUUUAUCGGUCAAAUCACAUAACAACAUACGUUGUUCCCUUUGUCAUCGGUAUGUUACUUGCCCGAGAUUCGAUCGUUGGUAUCUCAAUAUCUAGUUCAAUCUCGUUACCGACAAGUCUCUUUACUCGUUCUGUAGUGCACCAUCUCGUGACUAACUCAUUAGUCACAUUGCUUGCAAGGCUUAUAGUGACGUGCAUUACCGAGAGGGCCCAGAGAUACCUCUCCGAUAAUCGGAGUGACAAAUCCUAAUCUCGAUCUAUGCCAACUCAACAAACACCAUCGGAGACACCUAUAGAGCACCUUUAUAAUCACCCAGUUAUGUUGUAACGUUUGGUAGCACACAAAGUGUUCCUCCGGUAUUCGGGAGUUGCAUAAUCUUAUAGUCAUAGGAACAUGUAUGAGUCAUGAAGAAAGCAAUAGCAACAUACUAAACGAUCAAAUGCUAAGCUAACAGAAUGGGUCAAGUCAAUCACAUCAUUCUCUAAUGAUGUGAUCCCAUUAAUCAAAUGACAACUCAUGUCUAUGGCUAGGAAACUUAACCAUCUUUGAUUCAAUGUGCUAGUCAAGUAGAGGCAUACUAGUGACAUUAUGUUUGUCUAUGUAUUCACACAUGUAUUAUGUUUCCGGUUAAUACAAUUCUAGCAUGAAUAAUAAAAAUUUAUCAUGAAAUAAGGAAAUAAAUAAUAACUUUAUUAUUGCCUCUAGGGCAUAUUUCCUUCAGAGGCAUGGUUUGCAAGUACCAAGUGAUUCCAAAAGUCCAUCAGAAUGGAGUUUCUUCAUGCGCUUUACACCAAUAUGACCCAAAUGGCAGUGCCACAAAUAAGUUGUACUAUCAUUAUCAACUUUGCAUCUUUUGGCUUCAAUAUUAUGAAUAUGUGUAUCACUACUAUCGAGAUUUAAUAAAAAUAGACCACUCUUCAAGGGUGCAUGACCAUAAAAGAUAUUACUCAUAUAAAUAGAACAACCAUUAUUCUCAGAUUUAAAUGAGUAACCAUCUCGCAUCAAACAAGAUCCAGAUAUAAUGUUCAUGCUCAACACUGGCACCAAAUAACAAUUAUUCAAGUCUAAAACUAAUCCCGAAGGUAGAUGUAGAGGUAGUGUUCCGACGGCGAUCACAUCGACUUUGGAACCAUUUCCCACGCGCAUCGUCACCUCGUCCUUAGCCAAUCUUCGCUUAAUCCGUAGCCCCUGUUUCGAGUUGAAAAUAUUAGCAACAGAACCAGUAUCAAAUACCCAGGUGCUACUGCGAGCAUUAGUAAGGUACACAUCAAUAACAUGUAUAUCACAUAUACCUUUGUUCACCUUGCCAUCCUUCUUAUCCGCCAAAUACUUGGGGCAGUUCCGCUUCCAGUGACCAGUCCCUUUGUAGUAGAAGCACUCAGUCUUAGGCUUAGGUCUAGACUUGGGCUUCUUCACUUGAGCAGCAACUUGCUUGCCGUUCUUCUUGAAGUGCCCCUUCUUCCCUUUACCUUUUUUCUUGAAACUGGUGGUCUUGUUGACCAUCAACACUUGAUGCUCCUUCUUGAUUUCUACCUCCACAGCCUUUAGCAUCCCAAAGAGCUCGGGAAUUGUCUUAUCCAUCCCUUGCAUGUUAUAGUUCAUCACGAAGCUCUUGUAGCUUGGUGGCAGUGAUUGAAGAGUUCUGUCAAUGACACUAUCAUCAGGAAGAUUAACUCCAAGUUGAAUCAAGUGAUUGUUAUACCCAGACAUUUUGAGUAUAUGUUUACUGACAGAACUAUUCUCCUCCAUCUUGCAGCUGUAGAACUUAUUGGAGACUUCAUAUCUCUCAAUACGGGCAUUAGCUUGAAAUAUUAACUUCAACUCCUGGAACAUCUCAUAUGCUCCAUGACGUUCAAAACAUCGUUGAUGUCCCGGUUCUAAGCCGUAAAGCAUGGCACACUGAACUAUCGAGUAGUCAUCAGCUUUGCUCUGCCAAACAUUCUUAACAUCGUCAGUUGCAUCUGUAGCAGGCCUGGCACCCAGCGGUGCUUACAUGACGUAAUUCUUCUGUGCAGCAAUGAGGAUAAUCCUCAAGUUACAGAUCCAGUCCGUGUAAUUGCUACCAUCAUAUUUCAACUUAGCUUUCUCAAGGAACACAUUAAAAUUCAACGGACCAACAGCACGGGCCAUCUAUCUACAACAACAUAGACAUGCAAAAUACUAUCAGGUACUAAGUUCAUGAUAAAUUAAAGUUCAAUUAAUCAAAUUACUUAAGAACUCCCACUUAAAUAGACAUCCCUCUAAUCAUCUAAGUGAUCACGUGGUCUAUAUCAACUAAACCAUGUCCGAUCAUCAUGUGAGAUGGAGUAGUUUUCAAUGGUAAACAUCACUAUGUUGAUCAUAUCUACUAUAUGAUUCACGCUCGACUUUUCGGUCUCAGUGUUCCGAGGCCAUAUCUGCAUAUCUGCAAAGCAUGUCGGUAGAACCAGUCCCGCGUAAGCGUACGCGUAAUGUCGGUCCAGGCCGCUUCAUCCAACAAUACCGCCGAAUCAAAGUAUGGCAUGCUGGUAAGCAGUAUGACUAGUAUCGCCCACAACUCACUUGUGUUCUACUCGUGCAUAUAACAUCUACAUUAAGCCCGGCUCGGAUGCCACUGUUGAGGAACGUAGUAAUUUCAAAAAAAUUCCUACGCACACGCAAGAUCAUGGUGAUGCAUAGCAACGAGAGGGGAGAGUGUCGUCUGAUGGGGUCAUGUACCUAGGGUAGGGCCACAGACCUGAUCUAAGUUCCCUGCCCAAGGACACCCUUAGAAGAGGUCACCUUCCAGUCGACCAACGAGAGACACACUCGACUACCUUGAAGGACUCGACCACGAAGACUCACUCGACCACCAGAAGGUCAAGAGGCACUCUGCAGUGCAACGGCCUGUAAUUAAAGUAGACUUUAUGAUAGUAAAGACACUUUAUGUGGGGCGUUACCAGUAACGCCCCGGACUUAACUCACCUUAAACCCUCUCCUACGUGCGCUGGCUGGGGUCCUGGCGCACUCUAUAUAAGCCACCCCCCUCCACAGGUAGAGGGGUUCGGCACCUUGUAACUCAUAUACACAUAAUCCACUCGACCGCCUCUGGGCUCCGAGACGUAGGGCUUUUACUUCUUCCGAGAAGGGCCUGAACUCGUACAUCCCUUGUGUUUACAACCUCUCCAUAGCUAGGACCUUGCCUCUCCAUACCUACCCCCUACUCUACUGUCAGGCUUAGAACCACGACAGUUGGAGCCCACCGUGGGGCAGGUGUUUUAGCAAUUUUGUGGAGAAGUUGCGAUUCUUCCGAGUACUUUCAUCAUGGUGGCUGCUGGAGUUUUGGUCGAGGGUCGAGAGAUCCGUCUCGGCGCUCUCAUCUUCAUCGCCGACGACUCCGCCUGGCUCCAGGAGGCUCCACUCGACGUUGAUGCGCUCCCCGUCCGCGGUGCGACACAUUUUCGCGCAUGUGUCCGCGGCGUUUUGCUGCGGCAACCGUCGACCCCAUAUCAGUCGACAUCCCCAUCGACCACCCUCCCGGUCUCCCGUCAGCGCAAGCGCUCGGGCCGGUCGAGGAUUCAGCGGUGGGUGAGGCACGCGGUGGCUCGCCAGACGGCCACCACCCAAGUUGCGGCAAUCGAGCCCGACGAAUCUCUCUACGGCCUGGUCGAUCUGUCGACUGGUUCCCUAGAGACCGCAUCCGAGUGCGAUAGCAGUGAUCCAGCGGCAGAAAUUCUGAUGGUCGACGGGCCCCGCAGUCCCCCUGGCUUCGCCCGUGAUGGUGGAGCAAGAGACGGAGGCGACCCCGCACGAGACCACGAAGAGUACCAGCCCGAGUCACUCGACUCUCUGCAAAGAGAGGAACUUCGCCGCAGGAACGUGGAUGCGCUGCGUACUCCCAUCGCAGGAGAAACCCCCGAGGCUCGCGCCUUGGAGGAGGCACGUUUGGCCAAUUUGGCCGAACGCACUCGACUGGAGAAUCUUCAGCGAGCACUCGACGAGCGCGCGCGGCAACGAGUUCCCGACACCAGCCGACGUCAACUCUUCCCGCCGACUCAGGUAUAUCGAACCCCAAUCCAGAAUUUAGCAGCUGCGACCCGUAUAGCAGAGUCCAUCCAGCCUUCUCAGUCAGAAGCUGGCAGAGGCUUGAUGCAGAUUAGGGAUCUGCUCCGGGCAGCAGGAGAUCAGAAUUCGGCCGUGUCGCAGUCGCGCAACAGAAUUCACAGUCGAUCCGUCGCUGCGAAUACGGUUCAGUCGGCUCACAGUCCCAGAUCGCCUCCGCGGCGUGAAGGGUGCGAGAAUCGGCGAGACCAAUAUGGUGACCAACUCGACCGAGAUGAUAGGCGUCGAGUGCCCAAUUCCCCUCCGAGGGGUGGGUCUUACGCUCCUCGGCAGCAAGAUGACAGGCGUCAGUUCAGUACGGGGCGAAGAGUUCCAGUCGACCCCAGAGAACCAGGCUUCGACGCGCGAUCCAUUAUCGUGCAAGGUUUGGUCGACCGGAACAGAGCCCAUCGAGGCGGACUCGACAGAGAUGCGCCCACAAGCAGUCGAGUGCAUGUUUCUGGUCCUGAAUGUUUCAGCAGAGCUAUCAGAGCCGCAGUUAUCCCUCCCAAUUUCAGGUUGGCAACAGGAGUCAGCAAGUUCACUGGUGAGUCUAAGCCUGAAACUUGGCUUGAGGACUACCGAGUGGCGGUUCAGAUUGGUGGUGGGAAUGACGAGGUGGCCAUGAAGCAUUUGCCCCUCAUGCUGGAAGGUUCUGCCAGGGCAUGGUUGACUCAAUUACCUCCUAGCAGCAUUUACACUUGGGAAGAUCUGUCCCGAGUGUUCAUCAGAGCGUUUGAAGAAACUUGCAAGCGACCGGCUGGACUGACGGAGUUGCAAGUCUGCGUGCAGAAGACCAAUGAGACUCUCAGAGAGUAUAUUCAGAGAUGGAUCACUUUGCACCAUACUGUGGAGAAUGUGUCUGAUCAUCAGGCAGUCUGCGCCUUUAAAGAUGGCGUCAAGAACAGAGAAUUAAGUUUGAAAUUUGGUCGAACCGGUGACAUGACCUUGAGUCGGAUGAUGGAGAUUGCUACCAAGUACGCCAACGGCGAAGAAGAAGACCGACUCCGAAGCGGCAAGCACAAGCCGAGCCAGUCGGAAAAGGGAAACACCAGUCGGAAACAGAAGCGGAAGGCUGAACCGGCAGCUCCUGGAGAGGCUCUGGCCGUGACUCAAGGAAAGUUUAAAGGGAAACCAAAAGGAUCCUGGAACCCUAAGAAGGUGAAGGAUAAAGAAGGGAACGACGUGAUGGAUAUGCCGUGUCACAUCCACACGAAGAAAGACGAAGAGGGGAAUAUCAUCUACCCGAAGCAUACCACUCGCCAAUGUCGACUCCUGAUCCAGCAGUUUCAGGGAAAACAGUCUAAGGACAAGGAGAAGGAGUCGGACAAGGCCGAAGACAAGGAGGACAGUGAGGAAGGAUAUCCGCAUAUCAACUCCACUCUGAUGAUCUUUGCAGAUGUGGAAAGCAAGAGUCGAUUGAAAGUCAUUAACCGAGAGGUGAACAUGGUUGCCCCAGCAAAAGCAAAUUAUCUGAAAUGGUCCCAAAUACCCAUCACAUUCGACCAAUCUGAUCACCCGACUCAUAUUGCCACCCCUGGGAGGCAAGCUUUGGUGGUCGAUCCAGUUGUUGAAGGCACUCGACUGACAAAAGUGCUUAUGGACGGUGGUAGUGGGUUGAAUUUGCUGUAUGCAGACACACUGAAAGGAAUGGGCAUUCCGAUGUCCCGACUGAGCACCAGUAACAUGAGCUUUCAUGGAGUUAUACCAGGGAAGAAAGCCGAGUCACUCGGCCAAAUAGCUCUGGACGUGGUGUUUGGUGAUUCGAAACAUUUUCGCAAAGAAAAGUUGACGUUUGAGGUCGUGGAUUUUCAGAGUGCAUAUCAUGCCAUUUUGGGGAGACCAACUUACGCACGGUUCAUGGCUCGACCAUGUUACGUGUACCUCAAAUUGAAGAUGCCCGGCCCCAAAGGAGUGAUCACUGUCACCGGUGAUCGGAAAAAGGCAGAAGAGUGCUUUCAGAAGGGCUCAAAGAUUGCCGAUUCCCAGGUGACAGCGGUCGAAUUCGAAGAAUACAAGCAAAAUGCAGAUCCGAGUGAUUUGCUGCGAUCCAAGAAACCCGCCACAGAGUCUGCAUUUCAGUCGUCCGGUGAGACGAAGCCUGUUCACAUUCACCCGACCGACCCCAAUGCAGCUCCGACCCACAUCUCCACAACACUCGACCCGAAAUAGGAAGAAGCGCUCAUCCAGUUCCUCCGUGAGAACUGGGACAUUUUUGCAUCGAAGCCCGCUGACAUGCCAGGUGUUCCCAGGGGACUGGCUGAGCAUCGCCUAAGAGUCGACUCAUCUGCAAAACCAGUCAAAGAGCAUCUUCGGCGGUCCGCCGUCCAGAAGAGAAAAGCCAUUGGUGAGGAAGUGGCUCGACUGUUGGCGGCAGGAUUUAUCCGAGAGAUAUACCACUCCGAGUAGCUUGCUAAUGUCGUCAUGGUUCCUAAGAAGGACAAAUCACUCCGAAUGUGCAUUGAUUUCAAGCACAUCAACUGGGCCUGCCCGAAAGAUCAUUUUCCUCUCCCUCGCAUAGAUCAAAUUGUUGACUCGACUGCGAGAUGCGAGAGACUGUCUUUUCUAGACGCCUACUUCGGGUACCACCAGAUCCGUCUGUACGGACCCGACGAGAUAAAAACAGCUUUCAUCACUCCAUUCGGGUGCUUCUGCUAUAUCACCAUGCCAUUCGGCCUCAAGAAUGCCGGAGCCACAUUUAUGCGAAUGAUUCAGAAGUGUCUACUCACUCAAAUCAGUCGGAAUGUGGAAGCAUAUAUGGAUGAUAUCGUUGUCAAGUCACGAAAAGGUUCCGACCUGCUCGCUGAUCUCGCCGAAACAUUUGCCAACCUCAGAAGGUAUGAUAUCAAGCUCAAUCCAUCAAAGUGCACAUUUGGAGUUCCUGGUGGCAAGUUACUCGGUUUUCUCGUUUCCGAACGAGGAAUCGACGCUAAUCCAGAGAAGAUCGGCACUAUUCUCCGAAUGAAACGCCCUGUGCGAGUGCACGAUGUCCAGAAGCUUACUGGAUGCUUGGCCGCAUUAAGUCGAUUCAUCUCACGACUCGGUGAAAAGGCAUUGCCUCUUUACCGACUGAUGAAGAAGGCAGACAAGUUCGAGUGGACUCCAGAAGCUGAUGCAGCGUUUGCCGAGCUAAAAGCUCUGCUCUCCACCCAGCCGGUGCUUGCUGCUCCAAUCAGCAAAGAGCCUCUGUUGCUCUAUAUCGCAACCACAGGACAAGUCGUCAGUACUGUGCUAACGGUCGAGCGGGAAGAAGAAGGAAAAGCUCUCAAAGUUCAGCGCCCAGUGUAUUAUUUGUCUGAAGUCUUGACUCCAUCCAAGCAGAGAUAUCCUCAUUAUCAGAAGCUUGUGUAUGGAAUAUACAUGACCACAAAGAAGGUUGCUCAUUAUUUCUCUGAUCAUUCCAUCACAGUCGUCAGCGACGCUCCACUAUCAGAGAUUUUGCACAACAGAGAUGCAACUGGUCAAGUGGCUAAAUGGGCGAUUGAACUUCUUCCCCUUGAUAUCAAGUUUGAGGCAAAGAAAGCCAUUAAGUCCCAGGCAAUAGCAGAUUUCCUCGCCGAGUGGAUUGAACAGCAGCAGUCGACUGAAGUUCACUCGGAGCAUUGGACCAUGUUCUUUGAUGGCUCUAAGAUGUUGAAUGGUUCCGGUGCUGGGGUCGUCCUGGUUUCCCCCAAAGGAGAUAAGCUCAGAUAUGUGCUCCAGAUUCACUUUGAUUCCUCCAACAAUGAGGCAGAAUAUGAGGCCCUCUUAUAUGGGUUGCACAUGGCCAUUUCACUCGGCGUCCGUCGCCUGAUGGUCUAUGGCGACUCGGAUUUAGUGGUCAACCAAGUGAUGAAGGAGUGGGACGUGAGAAGCCCAUCCAUGACUGGAUACUGCAGUGCAGUGAGGAAGCUGGAAAAGAAGUUCGAGGGGUUGGAGCUCCAUCAUAUACCCCGACUGAAAAAUCAAGCAGCUGAUGACCUAGCAAAGAUAGGAUCCAAGAGAGAAGCCAUUCCGAGUGGUGUGUUCUUGGAGCAUAUACACACUCCGUCAGUCAAAGAAGAUCCUUUCACCGAAGAAGCUCCACAGCCCAAGAGUGCCACAGAUCCGACUGAGGUUGAAGUCCCAGCGGUGGUCGACUUGAUCAUGGAGGUCUUGGUGGUCAUUCCCGACUGGACAGUUCCAUAUAUCGCGUAUAUCCUGAGAAAAGAGCUUCCGGAGGAUGAGGAAGAGGCUCGACAGAUCAUCCGUCGAUCUAAGGCCUUUACCGUAAUCAAAGGACAAUUAUACAGAGAAAGCGCGACUGGAGUUGGUCAGAAGUGCAUAACACCAGAAGAAGGUCGACUCAUCCUCAAUGAUAUCCACUCGGGGACCUGUGGUCAUCAUGCGUCCUCUCGGACCAUCGUGGCCAAAGCAUACCGAGCCGGAUUUUACUGGCCAAAGGCGAAUGAGAUGGCAAAGGAGAUAGUGGAUAAGUGCGAGGGAUGUCAGUUUUACUUGAAUAUGUCACACAAGCCUGCAUCAGCCCUGAAGACCAUUCCACUCCUCUGGCCUUUCGCAGGAUGGGGGUUGGACAUGGUCGGUCCUUUGAGAACAGGGCGAAGUGGCUUCACGCAUGUACUGGUGGCAGUCGACAAGUUCACCAAGUGGAUUGAGGCUAAACCAAUCAAGAACCUUGACUCCGGUACUGCUGUUAGCUUCAUCAGGGAACUAGUAUUCAGAUAUGGAGUCCCGCACAACAUCAUUACGGAUAAUGGGUCGAACUUUGACUCGGAGGAAUUCAGAGAUUUCUGUAACUCUCAAGGCACACGGAUCGACUACGCUUCAGUCGCCCAUCCGCAGUCGAAUGGACAAGCAGAGCGAGCCAAUGGCCUGAUUCUCAAGGGAUUGAAACCCUGACUGAUGCGUGAUCUCAAGCAUGCAGCUGGAGCUUGGGUCGACGAACUUCCCUCAGUGCUUUGGGGACUACGGACCACACCUAAUCGGUCGACCGAAAGAACUCCAUUCUUCUUGGUCUACGGAGCUGAAGCGGUCUUGCCGAGUGAUCUUCUCCACAAUGCUCCUCGAGUUGAAAUCUACAACGAAGCAGAAGCUGAACAAGCGCGGCAGGACGCAGUCGACCUUUUAGAGGAAGAAAGGGAGAUGGCUCUGAUCCAGUCGACCAUCUACCAACAAGAUUUGCAUCGUUUCCACGCCAGAAAUGUGAGAGGUCGAGCCUUCCAGGAAGGAGAUUUGGUUCUCCGAGUGGAUCAGCACAAACCACACAAGCUUGCUCCUUCUUGGGAAGGUCCCUUCAUCGUCACCAAGGUUCUCCACAACGGGGCGUACCGUCUUUACAACGUCGAGCAUAAUAUCGACGAGCCCCGAGCUUGGACGCGGAACUACUCCGCCCAUUUUACACUUAAGGUUUAUCACUCGGAUGAGUUGCAAUAAAGUACUUCUGUAGUUCAUGGACCUCAAAAUAAUAGUGUCAUAGUUCUUCCAUAAUUUUUGUCACUUUUUAUUUUGUCCAAUAAAAUUCCCCCUCAGUGGGUGACUUAGCCGCGAAUCCGUUCCGCCUAAGUUUGUAAAAAAUCCUACCGAGUGAAGAGCAAACCUCUCACUCGGAGGCUUAGCUGCAGUCCAAGUACUCGCCUAAGUUAUAAAAAUCCUGCCGAGUGGUAAGCCAGACUUCCACUCGGGAGCUUAGCUGCAGCCCAGUGCUCGCCUAAGUAAUCAAAAAUCCUACCGAGUGAAGAGCAAACCUCUCACUCGGAGGCUUAGCUGCAGUCCAAGUACUCGCCUANNNNNNNNNNNNNNNNNNNNNNNNNNNNNNNNNNNNNNNNNNNNNNNNNNNNNNNNNNNNNNNNNNNNNNNNNNNNNNNNNNNNNNNNNNNNNNNNNNNNNNNNNNNNNNNNNNNNNNNNNNNNNNNNNNNNNNNNNNNNNNNNNNNNNNNNNNNNNNNNNNNNNNNNNNNNNNNNNNNNNNNNNNNNNNNNNNNNNNNNNNNNNNNNNNNNNNNNNNNNNNNNNNNNNNNNNNNNNNNNNNNNNNNNNNNNNNNNNNNNNNNNNNNNNNNNNNNNNNNNNNNNNNNNNNNNNNNNNNNNNNNNNNNNNNNNNNNNNNNNNNNNNNNNNNNNNNNNNNNNNNNNNNNNNNNNNNNNNNNNNNNNNNNNNNNNNNNNNNNNNNNNNNNNNNNNNNNNNNNNNNNNNNNNNNNNNNNNNNNNNNNNNNNNNNNNNNNNNNNNNNNNNNNNNNNNNNNNNNNNNNNNNNNNNNNNNNNNNNNNNNNNNNNNNNNNNNNNNNNNNNNNNNNNNNNNNNNNNNNNNNNNNNNNNNNNNNNNNNNNNNNNNNNNNNNNNNNNNNNNNNNNNNNNNNNNNNNNNNNNNNNNNNNNNNNNNNNNNNNNNNNNNNNNNNNNNNNNNNNNNNNNNNNNNNNNNNNNNNNNNNNNNNNNNNNNNNNNNNNNNNNNNNNNNNNNNNNNNNNNNNNNNNNNNNNNNNNNNNNNNNNNNNNNNNNNNNNNNNNNNNNNNNNNNNNNNNNNNNNNNNNNNNNNNNNNNNNNNNNNNNNNGAGUACUCGCCUAAGUUAUCGAAAAUCCUACCGAGUGAAGAGCAAACCUCUCACUCGGAGGCUUAGCUGCAGCCCAGUGCUAGCCUAAGUUAUCAAAAUCCUUCCGAGUGAAGAGCAAACCUCUCACUCGGGGGCUUAGCUGCAGCCCAGUGCUAGCCUAAGUUAUCAAAAUCCUUCCGAGUGAAGAGCAAACCUCUCACUCGGGGGCUUAGCUACAGCCCAGUGCUCGCCUAAGUUAUCAAACUCCUACCGAGUGAAGAGCAAACCUCUCACUCGGGGGCUUAGCUGCAGUCCAAGUACUCGCCUAAGUUAUAAAAAUCCUACCGAGUGGUAAGCCAGACUUCCACUCGGAGGCUUAGCCGCAGCCCAGUGCUCGCCUAAGUGGACUAAGGAAUAAGUCGAUUGCAAUAAAGGCGCCCUGCUUUGAACCUGCAAAAGACAUUUCGAGCCAAAAGCAAUCAUAUUCAAGCACCAAAUUCAAGUUCGAAUCGAUAUCUAAAGGAACCGAAAGUGCUCAGGCGCUAAGCCCGUUAAGGUUUAUCGGUUACAAUUCCACUCGGCAUACCGAGGCAAAUUUAAAGCGUCGAGCUUAGAAGAAGUUUUUUACCCCUCCUGCGGAGGGCUGGAUGGUGCAACAAACUCAUCAAGAUCAAUUCCGUCUGCGAUCCGAGUGGCAGCCGCAAGGAAAGUUUCCAUAAAGGACCUGAAGUCGUGUUUCUUGGUGUUGGCCACCCGGAGGGCCGCCAGCUUCUCUUCUCGCGCAUCUUUGCAGUGGACUCGGGCCAGACACAGAGCAACAUCUGCACCGCACCGAGCCGAGGACUUCUUCCACUCCUGCACUCGACCAGGGAUCGUGUUCAAGCGAGCCAUCAGCGACUCAAGGUCAUUCUGAAGUGUCUCCCCGGGCCAGAGCGUCGAGUCGAUGCGAGAUGUGGCGACCUUCAGCCUUGCAAGAUAGUCCACGGCAGCUGCAACACGGGACUCCAGUCGGAAAACAUUCAUGGCAACUUCGUCGUUCACCGGAGAAUUGACGGGGUCGAGGUUUGGUUCCAGCCGGCUAGUUUCUUCUUCAAAGUUUUGACAAAAUUCUGCAAGGACGAUCACCGAGUCAAGGUGAUGGUCGAAUGGAAAAACCACGAUUGGAAAUAGUUGCCUAGCAUAGAGGUUUACCUUCAAGCAUAAGAAACAGCUUCUUGGCAAGACCACUCAGGAAGGCCUCCAGAUCAUUUUUCUUCCCAGUCAACUUACUGACUUGGUCGGUCAGGGCAGCUUUAUCAGUUUUCAGUCGACUGACCUCCUUGUUGGCGAUCCCAAGAGUAGCUUUCAGAUUGGUAUUGUCUUGUUCAAGCUUGGUGACUGAAGCUAACUUCUCGUCAGCAAGCUUGAUCUUCUCAGCUAGUUCAAGGUCUUUCUUCUGUUGGGCCUCCCUUACCUUACCUGCAAGUUACAGCAAGAUCAGAUUUUGAAACAAACAAAGGGAAAAGCAGUCGUCAAGGUCUCACCAAACAUACCUUCGGUCUCCUCCUUUGCCUUCGUCAGUUUCUCCUGAACCAGCUUCAAGUUCAGCUUGAGCUGAACGUGCUUGUUUUCCAGCUCAGAGUAGCGAGCCACAAGAUCACAGGAGUUCUGCGAAGAACCAAUCGACUAAAUGUCAAAUAUAAUUCACUUCCGAGUGAAAAAGGAAAAAUCACACGUUUCUAAGACUACAGCCGAAUACAAGCAUUCGACCGUAGUCUCGGGGACUACACCCAGUGGGUGCACUCAGCGUGCCCCCACUAAUCCUAUCGAAGAUAGAGUCGACCAGUCGACCUCAAAAAAAAGAGAGAGAUGUAUUCUUUAAGACUGUAAUCGACUGCAAGCAGUCGACCACAGUCUCGGGGACUACACCCAGUGGGUGCACUCAGCGUGCCCCCACCGGUUUGCAAAAUCCAUUCGACAUAGUCAAAUGACGCAAAGACUGAAAUUAUAAAACGUAAAGCCGACUGCCAGCAGUCGACCUUAGCCUUGGAGACUACACCCAGUGGGCGCACUCAGCGUGCCCCCACUAAUCCUAUUGAAGACAGAGUCGAACAGUCGACCAGUUUGCGAAAUCCAUUCGACAUAGUCGAAUGACGGAAAGCCUGAAAUUAUAAAGCCUAAGGCCGACUGCCAGCAGUCGACCUUAGCCUUGGGGACUACACCCAACGGGUGCACUCAGCGUGCUCCCGCUAACACGGAGUCUGAAUCGACACACCCAGUGGGUGACUACUAUAAAUUCUAGAAAGAAAAGUUUUUGAUAGCAUAUCCUAACAGAACAGGCGGUGGUCGACUGACCUGAACAUUGCUUUGAAGGGCGGAACUGGCGUCGUAAGCUGCCUGGCUCGCAUCCCGGAUGGUCCUUAACUGCUCCAUCAUGAUCCCUGCCUGGCGUAUCGCCUCCUUCGCGGCGCCAGCUUGGUCCUCUGGGACGUGGUGCGUCGUGAAGAGGGAGGGCUGCUGAGCACUCGUCAGUGGAUCUGCGAAGGACACAGUGUGUCGAGUGGUAUUCUCUUCCUCCGCAAUCAGAGUCUCAGGCGCCGUCACAUCCUGGGGCACCCUGCUGGCAGACGCUUUCCUACUCUUUCUGCGCUUCAGCGGUUCCUCAUCCUCAUCAUCAUCAGGGAGAGUGAUAACAACAUUGGGUGGAGCUACAGAGAAGAAUCAGGAUUCGAGAUCAUGAGUCAGUCGACUAAAAACGGCGUUAAGAAUAUAGUACCUGGUUUUGAGGUUGCUGCGUCCUCCAUCUCAUGGUCAUGAGCCCGGGCUGAGGUCUCAGAAGUAGCAGCACUGCAACUCCAAAGAAUCAGUCGACUAACUUCAGCGUCAACCAGAGACAAAGUUCACACAAAAUAAUCAGACUUAACCAGCAUGAUUACCCUGAUAUGGUGGGGAUGGACACCUUCAUCUUCGGCAGGAGCUUGGUCGGCUUCGACGGAGCCGCCCGGGGCUGCUUCGGCGCCUUUUCAGUCGGCGCCGGAGAGGUGGUCCGAGGGCGCUUGGUCGACUGUGCAACGGUCGCAACCCCCUUGCCACGUUCAGUCGAAGGGUCGUGGACAAGCUUCGACCGCCUUUCUGAGCGCGGUGGUACGAUCUCCUCCUCCUCUUCUUCCUCGUCUUCAUCGUCAUCUUCAUCACCGUCAUCGUCGUCAUCAUCAUCAUCAUCCUCAGCAACGUCCGAGUCCCAUUCCUCCUCCUCCUGGCUCUCGCCCCCACUCGCCUCACCCUCCUCAGUCGGAGCCUGUGCUCCAUUGGGCAUCGAGUACAGCUCGGUGAGGGCCUGAUAGACAUCAAGACAAGGAUCAAUCGACCAAUUGGCAGAAUAAACAGAAAUCAAUAUGACAAGAACACAGUGGAGAGCAGAGCAGGCAUACCUUGUUUGGAUCACUGUUGUGGUCGAGUGGAGGAAUCCUUCUGGCUCCGCGUGGGUUAUCCUUGUUUCCGGUAACGGCGGCCAUCCAUAUUUCCAGAGUGACAUCGUCGACUGCUUCAGGAUGGACUCGAGUCUCGUCUUCAGUCCCACAGUACAACCACAUGCAGUGGCUCCGGAACCGAAGAGGCUGGAUACGACGCCUAAGGAAAACCUCCAAGAGAUCCAUGCCCGUCACUCCCUCCCGAACCAACUGUACCACGCGCUCCAUCAACAUCUUCACGUCAGCUUUCUCCUCCGGAAUCAACUUCAGAGAGGAGGGCUUGUUCACUCGGUCCAUGGUAAACUGAGGGAGUCCACUCGACUGCCCCGGCGUCGGCUGAUCCUGGCAAUAGAACCAGGUCGACUGCCAGCCUCUGACUGACUCGGGAAAAGUCAUGGCUGGGAAGGUGCUCUUAUUCCUCACCUGGAUCCCCAGGCCCCCACACAUUUGGACGACUCGGGUUCUUUCGUCGCCUGGGCUCGCCUUCUUCACGGUCUGAGAGCGACACGUGAAUAUAUGCUUGAACAAGCCCCAGUGGGGUCGACAGCCCAGAAAACCCUCACACAUGGACACGAACGCGGCAAGAUAGGCGAUAGAAUUUGGGGUAAAGUGAUGGAGCUGCGCUCCAAAGAAGUUCAAGAAACCACGGAAGAAAAUACUCGGCGGCAAAGAAAAUCCACGAUCAACAUGGGUGGCCAAGAGCACACACUCACCCUCUUCUGGCUGGGGCUGCCACUCCUUCCCCGGAAGCCUCGCAGCUCCAUGGGGGAUCAAGCCCUCGUUGGCCAUGUCGAGGAGAUCUUUCUCCGUGAUGGUCGACUGGAUCCAAUCUCCUUGGACCCAGCCCUUCGGCAGGCGGGAUCUAGACGAAGACCCGCCGCGGCUGGUGGAUCUUCUCUUCGCCUUCUCCGUCGCCGACGCCUUCUUCGCGCGUUCCAGCGCCGCCGUCUUCUCUUUGGUCAUGGUUGCCGGCGAGACGCGCGAGGAGAGGUUGGGCGGAGGCGAGAGCGAGCGCGUCGGGCGGAGACGAAGGGAGCAGAGAAAGAGAAUGCUGAGGCACUGUACAAAAAACCCUCGCCGGGCGCAUUUAUAAGGUCCCUUCUGAGUGGAUGACAGGUGGGCCCGGUCGAUCUAAUCAUAUCCAGGAACAGUUAUGCAGGCGGGAUACGUGGCGAAGAAAGUGGCGCGGGGAUCGAGGCGUCUAUAUCCCGUCCCAUCCGAACGCCGCAGUCCGCUCCGUUUCGCGCGCUUCCCCAAAUUUCGCAUCCCGCGGAAUCCGCGAACGGCAGACCGGUCUGUCAGACGCGGGAUUUCCUGCGAUCCGUCGCUUGGAAAUCGUCAAAGCCCGAAAGAUCACUCGAUGAAAGGAGAGAAUGGAUCGAGUCGACUGAAGACAAGUUGGUCACUAUCAACGAAGAGAUUCUUUGGUCCAGAACAACGCACGACCAGUGUGCAAAAGUUAAUCGGAAACAACAUCAACUCCUUCCUCACUCGAAGCCUCAAUCCAUUCGGGGGCUAAUGAUGGGGUCAUGUACCUAAGGUAGGGCCACAGACCUGAUCUAAGUUCCCUGCCCAAGGACACCCUUAGAAGAGGUCACCUUCCAGUCGACCAACGAGAGACACACUCGACUACCUUGAAGGACUCGACCACGAAGACUCACUCGACCACCAGAAGGUCAAGAGGCACUCUGCACUGCAACGGCCUGUAAUUAAAGUAGACUUUAUGAUAGUAAAGACACUUUAUGUGGGGCGUUACCAGUAACGCCCCGGACUUAACUCACCUUAAACCCUCUCCUACGUGGGCUGGCUGGGGUCCUGGCGCACUCUAUAUAAGCCACACCCCUCCACAGGUAGAGGGGUUCGGCACCUUGUAACUCAUAUACACAUAAUCCACUCGACCGCCUCUGGGCUCCGAGACGUAGGGCUUUUACUUCUUCCGAGAAGGGCCUGAACUCGUACAUCCCUUGUGUUUAGAACCUCUCCAUAGCUAGGACCUUGCCUCUCCAUACCUACCCCCACUCUACUGUCAGGCUUAGAACCACGACAUCGUCCACGUACCCUCGUAGACCAUAAGCGGAAGCGUUUUAUCAACGCUUUUGAUGUAGUCGUACGUCUUCACGAUCCGACCGAUCCAAGUACGGAACGGACGACACCCCCAAGUUCAGCACACGUUCAGCUCGAUGACGUCCCACGAACUCACGAUCCAGCAGAGUGUCGAGGGAGAGUUUCGUUAGCAUGACGGCGUGAUGACGAUGAUGAUGAUGCUACCGACGCAGGGCUUCGCCUAAGCACCACUACGAUAUGACCGAGGUGGACUAUGGUGGAGGGGGGCACCACACACGGCUUGGAACAAUCAACUUGUCUGUCUUAGGAUGCCCCCCGCCCCCGUAUAUAAAGGAGCAAGGGGGGAGGCCGGCCAGCCUUGGUGCGCCCCAAGGAGAGGAGGAAUCCUCCUCCUAGUAGGAGUAGGAUUCAUCCUUUCCUAGUCCUACGAGGAAGGGGGAAGGGGGAAGGAAAGAGAGGGAGAGGGAGAGGGAAAGAGGGGCCGCACCCCCUCCCCUAGUCCAAUUCGGACUCCCCAUGGGAGGGGGCGCGCCACCUCCUGGGCUGCUGCCCUCUCUCUGCCCUAAGUCCCACUAAGGCCCAAUACUUCCCCGGGGGGUUCUGGUAACCCCUCCGGCACUCCGGUUUUGUCCGAAAUCACCCGGAACACUUCCGGCGUCUGAAUAUAGUCGUCCAAUAUAUCAAUCAUUAUGUCUCGACCAUUUCGAGACUCCUCGUUAUGUCCGUGAUCACAUCUGGGACUCCGAACUACCUUCGGUACAUCAAAACACAUAAACUCAUAAUACUGAUCAUCACCGAAACUUAAGAGUGCGGACCCUACAGGUUCGAGAACUAUGUAGACAUGACCGAGACAAGUUUCCGGUCAAUAACCAAUAGCGGAACCUGGAUGCUCAUAUUGGCUCCGACAUAUUCUACGAAGAUCUUUAUCGGUCAAACCGCAUAACAACAUACGUUGUUCCCUUUGUCAUCGGUAUGUUACUUGCCCGAGAUUCGGUCGUCGGUACCUCAAUACCUAGUUCAAUCUCGUUACCGGCAAGUCUCUUUACUCGUUUUGUAGUGCAUCAUUUCAUGACUAACUCAUUAGUCACAUUGCUUGCAAGGCUUAUAGUGAUGUGCAUUACCGAGAGGGCCCAGAGAUACCUCUCCGACAAUCGGAGUGACAAAUCCUAAUCUCGAUCUAUGCCAACUCAACAAACACCAUCGGAGACACCUGUAGAUCACCUUUAUAAUCACCCAGUUAUGUUGUGAUAUUUGGUAGCACACAAAGUGUUCCUCCGGUAUUCGGGAGUUUCAUAAUCUCAUAGUCAACAUGUAUAAGUCAUGAAGAAAGCAAUAACAACAUACUAAAUGAUCAAGUGCUAAGCUAACGGAAUGGAUCAAGUAAAUCACAUAAUUCUCUAAUGAUGUGAUCCCGUUCAUCAAAUGACGACUCAUGUCUAUGGCUAGGAAACUUAACCAUCUUUGAUUAACGAGCUAGUCAAGUAGAGGCAUACUAGUGACACUUUGUUUGUCUAUGUAUUCACACAUGUACUAAAUUUCCGGUUAAUACAAUUCUAGCAUGAAUAAUAAACAUUUAUCAUGAUAUAAGGAAAUAUAAAUAACAACUUUAUUAUUGCCUCUAGGUCAUAUUUCCUUCAGUCAAGGUGCACGGCGGUGGCGGUGGCAGUGGGCUCUCUACUUUCGUUCGAGCUGGUCGACUUCAAGAGGGCUAUCGUGUUGCGCUUUCGCAUCUUCGAGGCCGCGGUGAAGGUGUCACUACAUGCGCUUGGGGAGGUGCAUGUUUGUCUUCGAGGAUGCAGCGGUCCGUGCCCGUGUGCUGGGCGGCCAAGGCCUGUUGGUGCUCAGGCGUGCGUCAUUCAUGGUGGCGCGAUGGUCGCAAUUCCAGCGUGCCUCCCCGGUGAGGUUGCUGUUCAAGGUGCACGUCUGCUUGAAGGGAGUGCCGGAGCACGCAUGGGACGUGGACUUCGUGGCCUCGCUGUUUGAUCCCUCCAUGCUUAUUGAUGGGAUUGAUGAGGAGGUGAGGAGGGAGGAGGAGACUGCUGCCGGCGCCUUUAGUUGUGGAUGGACGCUGUAGAGAAGCUCAAAACCAGGGGUAUUCUGCAACUGGAAGAGCCUCGAGAGUUGGGUUCGCCGGGAGCUCAACAUCUUCGAGGACGCGGCACCGCGCUGGGGAAAGGUGGGCAUGCUUUGAUAGAUGUGUCGGGGAGGAGGGGGAACCCGCCAACCCUCGAUCACCGCUGCCGUGUACUAAAACUAGCACAAAUUCAGCUUUUACAUAUUUGAGAAAGCGUCCUAUAAAUUUUGAUCAUAGUCCACUUUGAUAGAUGUAGUGCGAAUUUACAAACCCUAAUGCAAAAAAUCUCCAACCACGUGAUACAUAUAAACAAAAAUAAUAAGACAAAUUACGUAGUACAUUUUUGUGUGAAGUUUAAGAUCGAUGGGAUCAAUGCUUUGACCCAAAUUUAUUGAUAGUUAUGCUGUAUUAGUUUUCAUCCAUCGCCUACAUGCUCGGCGGCUAUUGAAAGCAAGGAAUUCCAUCACCAAAUACUUUGCUUCUCUCUUGGAUAAUGUUCUCCUUGGGCUUAGCCUUCAUAGGGCCUAAAUGAUUUUUGGAGGUUGAGGCCAAAAAUCUCAUUCCAGCUGGGACCCUACUUGAUCCUUUAUUAUAACUAGGCAACAACAAAAAUAUAGAGGCCUAGUACAAGGGUCUCUCCCCCCGUUCUUCCUUCUCGAAUCGCUAGCGUGGAUGAACAAUUCUAGAGCGUGUCAUUUCCUUCUCCUCCAUUAGACGGGUUCUCCACUCCUGGACUACCUCAGCACCGCCGAUCGCUCCUAAACCUUUGCGAAUAGCCCGCCUACCUCUUCGGCCCCUCCUAAACCUUUGCGAUUAUCCCACCCACCUCUCCGAUCACCUCAUUCCCUCACUACCACUAUCGAGCACUCCCAAAGGCUCAAACCUUUGUAACCACCCCAAAUCCGGUGCCCGCUGAUACCCGAGAUGGCAACAUUGUUUGUCCUUUAGUCGACUACGGGAAAGCUCCUCCAUGCCUACAUCCUUGCUCCUUCUGAGACCGAGAGUGUAUCAUGUCUCUGCAUUUGCGUGUGCUACAUAGACAUGAGAUGCAAUGCAAGACUCACUCCCUUGCUAGCAUCAGUGGGAGCAUGAAUAUAUAGUUGAUGCAAGGCGGAACAGUGCUCAGCAGCAACACGACAUGGCAAGACGAUGGGAAAAAAGCAUCACACCAAUAAUAAAUGCGUCCCAUGUAUAAAUGAUUACCCAAAUAAAAAAUGAAGUAUAAGAUAAACCGGGCCAUUGCAAGAGUUAGAGUCGGUUUUUGGUGCAGGCUAUUCAUAAUGCUGAAGAUCCUCUACAAAAAAAAUUAAAAUCGACGGAUCCAAGAUAUGAUUUUCUUAUUCUAUAUAAGGAAAUAAAAUCACAAUAUCCACACAAAUAUUAAUCACAUCCUUCCUUAUAAGAAAAGAGGAUUCUUUAGCUAGUAGUAAUAAUUCUUGCAAGAGGAGGAUGAGCAAUGUCCAUGUGUGAGAGUGUCACCGGGGGCAAAUCCGUCAAUCCCUCGCCCACCGCUGCCCGCCGUGGACUAGCCACGCAUCACCAUCACCGUCACCGGCCGCCCCCCGCUAGCACUCAACUCCGCCUCCGCCGCCGCGUCCCCGGCGGCCACCGCCCCCGAAAUGCCGCACCCUACUCCGCUGCGGCGUCUCCUCACCCGGCGCCGCGUGGUCCUCGCCUGCGCCGCCGUCACCGUGCUCGCGGCGGCCGCGGCUCUGCUUCUCGCCGCUCCGACCACCGAGGUCCCCGGCCGCGCCCUGCUCGUGGCUGGCGCCCGCCUCCACCCCAGGCCCCGCGAGGUGCCCCGUGCCGCCGCGGCGGGGCGCUCCCCGGACGACGCCCCCUCGCUGCCGCCGGCCCCGGCGCCGCCGCCUCCUCCCCUCAAUGCCAAGGUGCGUGCCGAGCUUCCGCCGCAGAGAUUAAUUUUGUGCUCCCCAAGUCCAUGAUGCAGAUUGCAAAAAGCACAUAUCUGAAAUUUAUGAGCUGCCGACUGCUGGCUGCCGUUACUGUUCUCGGUUGAAAUGCAGUCAAAUCUGGCUUAUUUUACCUGUGUAACUCUUGCUGAACAUUUGUGCAAACCUAAACAUAUACAGAGAAAUUCUUAAUCAUGAGCUGAAAUGCAGCAUCACUGCAAUGCUGGACUUUGGGUGAUUUGAUUUGAACAUAUAUGUGGGAUAGGUGAAUGUGAUACAGUUGGAUGGAUCUGAGUGCGCAAAAUGCGCCUGUUUUGUUUCGCAGGCUGGUUUGCCAUCUAAGAUUUCGCCGGCCCCUUCCAUGUUUUCGGCGCCGGUGCCUUCGCCGGCAGAGAAUUUUGAUGAUGGGUCAACGGAGGAACCCGAGCAUCCCGAUAUGAAGGUAUUUAUUUGCAUUUCUGUCUGCGAACUUUGAUGACGAGACAGUGCUGGUUUUGUCGUGCUCCGCGUUGUCCAGUUACGCUCAUGCAUAGGUUUAUUAACCUUAUUUCUAUUGGAUGUGCUUAUGCUGAUGUACGAUAGGAAGGCUUGCAUGCUGAGCUAUGUUUUUUAUACGGGUAGAAUAUCCGUAUGUCUUAUUAUGGCCUCUAAUUAAAUGUUACUGGUUCGCUAGGAAAAUCCACUCAAGGAAUCGGCCCCUUUUCUCCAGGAGGUACAUAUCUAGCGCUGGGUAGACUUUUUUUAUCAAUUGAAACUUCUAAUUUUAACCUUUAUAAUUGUGAAGCCCAUUUCCAGUGGUCCUCCUACAAGGAGCUCUGAUAUCAGUGAACCCCUUGACAAGAGUGGAAAUGCAGAACCGCCUCCAAGGCCAGAGGUUAGGGAUUUACCCCUCGUGUGAUGCAAUUUCUGUAUUCGGCAUCUGGAGUCAACAUGGUAAAAAUAUUUGUCGAUUUAGCAGAUGCCGCUUUGGUCAACAACGGCAGAUGAAGAGCUUAUAUAUGCAAAGAAAGAGAUUGCCGAUGCGCCAUUGGUAGUUGGUGACCCUGAUUUGUAUGCACCUCUGUUCAGGAACAUAUCUGCCUUUAGGAGGUAAGGUGCUGGUUUGCCUUCAUAUUCUCUAGCUAUAAUUGGUAUGUACCAUCCUGUAAAGUAUGGACUCGCUCAUCUAACUGUCCAGUUAUAUGUAGGCAACUUUCUCGUUCUGUCAUUUUGCCCAUAAACUGAAAUAAUGUUUAAUUUUCUUCAGUUCAGUAGAUGGUUUAUUAAAUUUCUAUCAACUUAUGCUUGUAGGAGUUAUGAACUGAUGGAGAGGCUUCUUAAGGUUUUCAUAUACCAUGAUGGAGCAAAACCUAUUUUUCAUUCUCCAGAGUUGAAAGGCAUCUAUGCUUCCGAGGGAUGGUUUAUGAAACUGAUGGAGGCAGAUCAGAAUUUUGUUGUGAAGGAUCCGAACAGAGCUCAUUUGUUCUACCUGCCAUAUAGCGCUCGGCAGCUGGAGCAUAAUCUUUAUGUGCCUGGAUCAAAUACACUCGACUCGCUGUCUAUAUUUGUGAAAAACUACAUAGAUAUGAUCUCUGCUAAGUUUCCGCAUUGGAAUAGGACGAAAGGCGCUGAUCAUUUUUUCGUUGCUUGCCAUGACUGGGUAUGUUUCUUCGCCUACCUGCAUAUUUGAAUCUUUGAGUAAUCAUUGGCCAUGACACAAAUUGUACACUGUGUUUUAGUCAAUUGUUGUAAAUCAGAUAUUUACAUACAAAACUGUAUUCUAUUCCUGACAUGAGGUCUUUUUUCGCAGGGACCUUAUACGACCAAAUUACAUGAUGAAUUGCGGAAAAACACCAUCAAAGCUCUCUGUAACGCCGAUGUCUCAGAAGGGGUUUUCAUCCGCGGAAGAGAUGUGUCCCUUCCAGAAACAUAUAUCAAGUCUGCAAGGAGACCUGUGAGAGACAUCGGUGGAAAGCCAGCGGCAGAGAGAUCUAUCCUGGCGUUCUUUGCAGGGCAGAUGCAUGGCCGCGUUCGGCCCGUCCUUGUCAAGUACUGGGGAGGCAAGGACGCGGACAUGCGAAUAUACACCCGGAUCCCACGCCAAAUCACCCGGCGGAUGAACUAUGCCAAGCACAUGAAGUCGAGCAAGUACUGCAUCUGUCCCAUGGGGUACGAGGUGAACAGCCCCCGGAUCGUGGAGGCCAUCUACUACGAGUGCGUACCGGUGAUCAUCGCCGACAACUUCGUGCUCCCGUUCGACGACGUACUUGAUUGGACCGCGUUCUCAGUGGUCGUGGCAGAGAAAGAUGUACCCAGGCUGAAGGAGAUCCUGCUGUCGAUCCCGGAGAACAGGUACAUAACCAUGCGGUCUAAUGUGAAGAAGGUGCAGAGGCAUUUUUUGUGGCACACAAAGCCCGUCAAGUACGACAUCUUCCACAUGAUCCUCCACUCGGUUUGGUUCAGCCGGGUGAAUCAUAUCAGGUGCACCAAGUAGAGCAGUAGCAGUGUAGCACUAGCUAUAGCCAUCAUCCACCUUUACUCAGGUACGGUCUCUAGUCUGAAGGAAGGAAAUGGAAGGAGGUGAUGUAACCUGACGUCGAUAGACACCAGUAGUAUUCUAAUAGUAACCUGAGCUAUCCUUUGCCUUGCAAAGAAAAAGGAGAGAAAAUUACAGAGUUGAGCUCCUGACGUUACUGAAUGUGGCGACAGAACAUUUACAUGUGCAUGGGUCGAAUCAACUAACAGAGACAGAGACAUAUGACCUUUACAUUGUUACUGAUAUGAUAAUUGGUCCUGGCAUAUGACCUUGACCUUGACAUUGUGCAUUAGCUCUAAAGUUUCUCUCUUUCAGGGUGAGACAAGGGACCGGUUUGCAUCCACACUAGCUGGGAAAACAUUUUUUGCUGUUGUUGAGGUGAACAAUGACAGUCACUCUUGAUUGCACAUUUUGUUCUUCAAAGAGGAAGUAUUGAUUGCACUUUUUGGCGUCGAAACUUCAGAUGAAUGUUUAACAGUUUGUAGUAGCUUGUCAGAAGUGAUUAGACUAGGUGAAGAUCUCACCUUUUACUUGAAGACUGGNNNNNNNNNNNNNNNNNNNNNNNNNNNNNNNNNNNNNNNNNNNNNNNNNNNNNNNNNNNNNNNNNNNNNNNNNNNNNNNNNNNNNNNNNNNNNNNNNNNNNNNNNNNNNNNNNNNNNNNNNNNNNNNNNNNNNNNNNNNNNNNNNNNNNNNNNNNNNNNNNNNNNNNNNNNNNNNNNNNNNNNNNNNNNNNNNNNNNNNNNNNNNNNNNNNNNNNNNNNNNNNGGAGUUGUUUUUUUUUUUUUUUGCUACUGUUCUAUCGUAGAUUACAAUUCGACUGAGCACAACACAGUUCAGGAACUGAGAUAAACAAUUUUUUGGUUGGAGUAGAUUUGUUUUCUUCUGUUUUUGUAUACAUGGCUAGAUUUUUCUUUUUUUCUUUUGGUUUGUCGGCAAAGGGUUGAAGGAUUAGCCAUUAGCCUCCUUUCUGAUAUAUUCUAUGGUUUCUUUUGUUUGGAGUUUUUUUUUCCCUGAUUCUGGAGACACGGUCAUUUACAAACAAUACUACAAUUCAGGAACUGAGACAAAUGUGUGCUUCAUUUGCUUGCUCUGUUGGCAAAGGGUUGAAUGAAUGAUCCAACAGAGCAAACAAAUUCCAUUGCUCCAUUGUAUGUUCCCUCAACAUUUACGCACUCGAACAAUAUUAUAAAUAAAUUCAGCAGCACAGGAUGGACAAGUGUUUUUUGUGUUGGCAAAACAACACUAGAGUUAAUUCAGUAUCUGAUAACAAUACUAUCUGUUCAUUCAGUAGGACAAAUAUGGAAGAAGAUAUCUGAUAACAAUAGUUUUGGAACUGUAUACCACGGUUGUAAAUCAGAGAAAUAUUCCGGAAAUUUUGAUUACACGACUGCAGAAGGAAGUAGCUUCUUCUCCCUCUGUAUUCUGUAUAGACAUGGCCUUCUUUAAUUUAAUUAUAUAUGCAACUCAACAAAUACUGUUGGAGUCAUAGACUUGUUUAUUACUUGACUUGCUCACUGUCGGCAACAUUCACAGCCACAUUGUUCUUCUUACUUUUCCAUAACUCUAGGUCUGCAGCCUGUCCAAGAAGCAGACUCAAAUAACCCAAUCUAACAAAAAAAACUUGGGCCCAACUGGCUUUGCCUCAGGACAAAUGAUAAAUUAGUAUGAUCGCAACUUCUGAUCCCGUCCCAAUACAGUAAACCUUGAUAGGUCUUGGAGUUUAAGAUGUUUCUCAUCUAGCAAUACCCUACUUCAGCCCUGUUGGUCUAUCCAUACGCGAAACUCGAACACAUCUACACGAAAUCUCAACCUGCUCCUGUAAAACACAAACCAGAAUAAAAUGAAUCCAAAAAUCAUACGGGUAGGAACUUGGCAAUCUGUACUUAUCUGUUUUUCAACACGUGAUCUCGACCACUUUUCAUGUGGUUACGAUUAUGAAUGGCACAUCUUACCCCCGUCUGGGAGGUCCGGUGGAAUCUUGCUAGGCAUCCAUUCCACGUAUUUGGAACUUUUGUCCACGUCAAAGGGGGAAUAUCAUAUCAAAUUUCACCUUUGAAACAAGUCCAACUAUUUCCUUUGGAGCCUUGUGGCUGUAUAUGGCGCCGCUCAGGACGAGUUUAAGUCUGCUUUUCUAAAGGAACUUGUUAAUACAUGCCGAGACAAUCCCCAUCCCAUGUUAAUCGGGGGGGAUUUCAAUAUCCUUCGAUAUCAGCAGGAAAAAAACAAUGACCGGUUUGAUACUAGGUGGCCUUUCCUAUUCAAUGCUGUUAUUGACAGCCUAGAUCUACGGGAGCUCACUAUGUCUGGUCGUCAGUAUACCUGGGCCAAUAACCGAUCAGUUCCAACUUUCGAAAAACUUGACCGGGUGAUGGUUACCACCGACUGGGAAUAUAAAUACCCCUAGCCUCGGUACGGGCACUAGAAAGGAUCGAGGCCUUAUCAGAUCACGCUCCAUUGCUAACCGAUUUUGGACAAACACCUCCAAGUUCUAACCGUCAUCAGUUUAAAUUUGAAUUGGGAUGGCUCACUAGAGAGGGAAUCCUGGACAUGGUCAAGAAAGUGUGGGCGCGUCAACCUCGCGGCAACACGCCCAUUCAACGAUGGAACAAUCGAAUUCGCGCCUUGCGCCGAUUCCUUCGUGGAUGGGCUAAACACACUGCUGGCAUUUACAAAAAAGAAAAGUUGCGGCUUUCUACUUUAAUCAAUACCCUCGAUAAAAUUGCGGAGGUGAGGCCUCUUUCUACUAAUGAGAUUGAGCAAAAAAGCCAUCGUAAUGAGCAGAUUGCACGCUUGCUUCGUGAGGAAGAGAUUAAAUGGUACCAACGUUGCAAGGCUGAUUCGCUCGUUCAAGGUGAUGAUAAAUACGAAAUACUUUCAAUUGCUAGCCAAUGGCAGACAUAGAAAGAAACGUAUCUUUGCUCUUGACCAGGAGGAAGGCCGUAUUGAGGGGGAAGCACCGCUCAGAGACUUUAUUACUAAAUACUACAAAGAGCUUUUUGGCCCUUCCACUAAAACACAUUUUGAGCUGGACGAGUCUAUCACUCAUGACAUCCCUCAAGUUUCGGAAGCGGAAAAUGAAUUCUUAACCUCUCCAUUUUCUGAAGAGGAAAUUCGAACCGCGAUGUUUCAAAUGGAACACAACAAGGCUCCGGGACCGGAUGGUUUUCCGGCAGAGUUUUAUCAAUGCUUUUGGGACGUGAUCAAGGCGAACUUGAUUCAGUUGUUUAACCAACUGCAUACCAAAGACCUUGAUAUUUCCCGCUUAAACUUUGGGGAGAUUAUCCUACUGCCUAAGAUUAAAGAGGCCAGUCGUAUUCAACAAUAUCGACCGAUUUGUCUUCUCAAUGUAAGCUUCAAAAUCUUUACGAAGGUCGCAACAAACCGGUUGAACAGGGUGGCGGACCAUGUCGUCAAGCCCACUCAAACAGGAUUCAUGCAAGGACGCAACAUACUAGAUGGUGUGGUUGUGCUGCAUGAAACGGUACAUGAGCUUCACCGCAAAAAGUUGAAUGGAGUGAUCUUUAAAAUAGAUUUCGAAAAAGCCUAUGAUAAAGUUAAAUGGCCCUUUCUGUUGAAAACUUUACGCAUGAAGGGGUUUUCACCAAAAUGGUGUCGAUGGGUUGAGAGUUUUGUUUCUGGAGGUAGUGUGGCCAUCAAAGUUAACGAUGAGGUUGGCAACUAUUUUCAUACAAGGAAGGGGCUUCGCCAAGGGGACCCCGCAUCACCCAUUUUGUUUAACAUUGUGGCUGACAUGCUAGCUACCUUGGUUGAGCAGGCUAAGGUGGCCGGUCAGGUUAGCGGCGUCAUUCCUCAUUUGGUAGAAGAGGGUUUAUCUAUCUUACAAUAUGCGGAUGACACGAUACUUUUCUUGGAUCAUGAUAUAGAUAAAGCAAGAAAUCUCAAGCUGCUUUUAUGUGCAUUUGAGGAACUUCCUGGCCUCAAGAUUAAUUUUCAUAAGAGCGAACUUUUUUGCUUUGGGGAUGCUGCAGAAUAUGCACCUGAGUAUGCUGAAAAAUUUGGAUGUCAGCUUUGGCAGUUCCCGAUUCGGUAUCUGGGUAUUCCCAUACACUAUCGACGUUUAACUAUCGCUGAGUGGAAGCACGUGGAAGAGAGACUUGAGAAACGGCUAGCCAGUUGGAAAGCCAAACUCUUGUCAUGUGGGGGGCGGUUGAUCUUGAUCAAUUCUGUCCUAAGCAACAUGGUUUUAUAUAUGUUGUCAUUCUUCCAUCUACCGAAAGGGGUUCUUCAGCGUCUUGAUUACUUUAGAUCUAGAUUUUUUUGGCAGUGCGAUAAUGAAUCAAAGAAAUACCGACUGGCUAGGUGGACUGUAUUAUGUCGACCUAAAAGUCAAGGGGGACUUGGAAUUCAGGACCUUGAGAUUUAAAAUAUUGCUCUUCUCAGCAAAUGGGUUUAUAAACUACUCACUAAGAAUAGAGUAUGGCAGGAACUCAUUCGUAAUAAGUACGUGGAAUCCAAAGCCAUUUAUCAAGUCCAUUGGAAACCUGGUGACUCACAUUUUUGGUCUGGUGUCAUGAAGGCCAAGGAAUUCUUUUUCCAAUUUGGGACUUUCUCGGUCAGGGACGGUUCCCAGGUUCGAUUCUGGGAAGACACCUGGCUAGGGACCACACCACUCAUGAUGCAAUACCCGAGUUUGUAUAGGAUUGUUAGACAUAAAUUUGUCACCAUUAAACAAGUUUUGGGACAAGAAAACCCUGAUAUUUCUUUCCGUAGGGACCUAUCAGGACCUCGCCUGACAGCUUGGAAUGAGCUACUCAUACGUCUAGAGGCUAUUCAACUAUCAGAUGAACCGGACAUCUUCCGAUGGAAUUUGCAUCAGAAUAGCAAGUUUACAGUCAAAUCCAUGUAUGAUGCAAUGGUUCAUUGUGAUGUUCCGGUUGAUAACAGGAAAUUGUGGAAGCUUAAAAUCCCUCUAAGAGUGAAGAUAUUCCUCUGGUUCCUAAACAGAGGGGUCAUCUUAACUAGAGAUAACCUGGCACGACGCAACUGGCAAGGCACCAAGGCGUGUGUCUUUUUCCAACAUGACGAGUCUAUUAAGCACUUAUUUUUUGAGUGUAAGUUCGCUCGGGCGGUUUGGGUCAUAGUUCAAGUAGCUUUAAAUUUAUACCCACCAUGUAGUGCUCGUAACAUGUUCGGCAAUUGAUUGAGGGGUAUUGAUAAACAAUUUUUUGCACAUAUUCUUGUGGGAGCGGCUGCCUUAUGCUGGACAUUGUGGCUUACCAAGAAUGAUGUGGUUUUUAAUAAAAAAAUGUGUUUCGUCUCCUAUGCAGGUUAUUCAUGUAUGUACGCGAGGGCUCCGUACUUGGUCUAUCCUGCAGAGGACGGAGGACAGGGACCUUUUUAUGAUGGCGUCUACGCGGCUGGAGCGUACGGCCAGGGAGGUUUUCUCCCCCAUGGAUGGCAGUGUGAUCUCCGGAUAGGAUCUGCCACAUCGUAGGCUGGACUUAUUUAUCUUUUUAAGUUGUAAAACGUUUUUAUUUUUUGGUCGGUUGGACUUCUCUGCUGUGUGCAUCGAGUUAUGCAGAGGUCGGGCAUUCUUUAGAUGCGAUUGUAUCACCUCGAUAUAUCAAUUCAAUGAAAUGUCCUUUAUCAAAAAGUCUGUUUGACAAAAGCAGUUCACAAAGUUAGUUCACAAAAUCAGUUCACAAACCAUCGUUAAGAGUUCUUUUGCUGUAGAUUGAUAGUUACAUAUGGGAUCCUAGAUCUGGGUCUCCCGGAUCCAAAGAUGACGGUGCCCUCGGUGCCAUUCUCCCUCCUGGGGGCAUCGUUUUGGAGUAGGUGCUGGGUGGAGGAGACAAAAAGAGGAGCGGUGGUAUAUCUACCACAGGGCCGACGGCGUGUCUCGGCGGCAUGGCGCAACAGAUAAGUACUUUGGUGAGUCCCUGAUCUCCUUCUCUGUCAGCUAUUCGUUGCUAGUAUUACAAAGCCGAUGAUUGGCGUAUAAUUCUUUUUCUCACACCUAUCCUGCGUACGCUUUAUAUAAUCCGUCGAUAUUAGGCCAAAUGCUUUAAGAAGAAGAAAAAUGCUUUCUUAUCAUGAUUGAUUACCACUAACAAUACAUGAUUGAUACUAUCAAUCUUAUCAAGGAGCUGUUAUGAGGUUUUAUAGCUGGAGUUCUAAGUAACUAUUACUUAUGACGGUAAGCUCAAUCACUUUGUUCCUUUUUUGACGUGAUUUCACCUUCUUUUGGGUUCGGGCUUUCUAGUGUUACGUGUUAGUGGUUUUACUGUGGCUUCAACACAAAUUCAGGAGAAGAAAACACUUUUUUUUAUGAGAAAACUUUUGAUCUAUCUAUCUUCAAUCAUGGCACCACCUAGCGAUGACUAUAAGCACUAAAGCGACCCGAAGGCGCGCCACCGUUAUCGCCCCUCCCUCGCCGGAGUCGGGCACAACUUGUUGUUGUAGAUAGUCAGGAAGUCGUCGUGCUAAGGCCUCAUAGGACCAGCUCACCAGAACAGCAACCGUCGCCGAGGAAGAACAAAGUAGAUUGAAAGGAUCCAACCCAAAGACACACGGACAUAGACGAAAAAUAACCAAAUCCGAGCAAACCCACCGAGGAUAGAUCCGCCAGCGACACACGUCCAUACGCCCACGAACGAUGCUAGACGCAUCACCGAGACGGGAGCUUGGCGGGGAGACCUUUGUUCUAUCUUCAGAGAGCCGCCGCCGUCUCGCCUUUCUGAGCAAGACACAAUCCCUAACAAAACUCGAAGAAAUGACUAACAACAAAGCUCUCCCGCCGGCCAUUGCUAGGACCACCGUGCCGCCAUGGCCAUAGGGCCAUCGGAGAUGCGGCGGACCUGCAGUGGCGCCGACGAGAGGCACGAACCCUACCCUUUUUGAGGAGCAGGUCGCGGCUAUGUUGCUGUAUCUAACGAGUCCCGUAACUGCAAAGUAGUAAAAGUUUUGGACAAGAGAAGAAAAAGCUAUCAACACGUUCACGAUUGCUAGAGCCAGCAAACGCGCGAUACUAUACUACAACCCAACCAGGCUCCUUGCGCCGCCACCCGUGAGGAAGCCUCCAGAGGGCGCGCCCGGCCGGCGGUGGCGGGGCUAGAUCUUCCCCUCACGUGAUAGGGUGGAGCGGUCUGCUCUCGUCGGGUCAGAUUUGGCCGGCUGGUGGCGCGGGAUGGAGGUUAUCGCUCCCCUUCAGGAUGGAGGUUAAUAACCUACAUCUUUCUUACCCUUCAUCGUCGAUGGUAUCAAAUUUUUCCAUGUGCAUGAUCCCACCCAAAUAUAUUCGACGCAACAUCACGGCCUUCUAUUGUAGCUAUAAUGAUUACCAUCAAGGGAGUAGCAUUUGGUUAUAUAACCCAGCUACAAGCAAAUCAAAAUCAUUAAUUGUGUUGACAAGGAAAGUAAAACAGAUCGGGGCUCCGGUUAUUAAGAUGGCACUCGGAGUAGGCCUUGACCUCCACCUUUCCUUUCUAACUGGCAUGUAUGUGCUCAGUAAUGACGAUGAAAAUCACAAGGCCGUGUACAUAAUAAAACUUGCAAAAGGGUGGAAGGAAACUUGCAAAAGGGCGGAAAGAUGAAUAGGUUGGUGACAACGACGAGAUGGAGCAAUUGUGAUAAUUGACAAAACAUAAUUUUGUUACCCCGUUACAACGCACGGGCUCUUUUGCUAGUUGUUUCCUAAUUUUUUUUUUGCAAUAAUAGGAGGUAUCGAUUGAUUUCGAUAAGUUACUAAAGUUACACCGGUGAUUGCGUGUAUGUUAGAAAAAUGCUGAUUUACAAGGAAAGAGCUGAGGGGUAAGUAAACUGGUGAAUAAGAAACCAGCUGGAGGGGAUGGUGGGAGGAGGGACGAAAAAAAAA